RNAcentral lists this long non-coding RNA (65319 nucleotides) under Sorghum bicolor (sorghum). Its description in RNAcentral is "long non-coding RNA (SBIC_LNC012061)". The stretch from base 16512 to 16605 matches the Rfam family "MIR5387 microRNA precursor family". The record is from RNAcentral. Lineage: Eukaryota; Viridiplantae; Streptophyta; Magnoliopsida; Poales; Poaceae.
ACCCUACUCUAAUAAGGCUUUUGAUAUCUGGAGCUCAUUGGUGGGAGAUAGCUAAUACAUACUUACAAGACAUUUAUUGCAUAGUCAAACUAUGGAUCCAGAAGAACAAGUCAAUAAGUCAAAUCAAGAUGUGCAUGUGUGGCGAAUGAAUGGUGUAUGGUGAUGAUUGAUAACAAUAGUGAAAGUCUAAUUCUACUUAUGCUCUUUUGAGGGGAUACAUACUUUUCUUGCUCUUUUGAAACUUUUUGAGGGGAAUAAGAUGCUCUAUAUUUUCUUUUCUUUUUUUUCUUUUCUCUCAGGUGGGUAUCUUGUACCCCUAAUUCUACUGUCGCACACUUGUCCAUUUUUACCUCUCGUCUCACUUUUUCUUUUCUUUCGAGGUUCCGGGCACUUGCCCCUUUUUAUUUCCUCGUAUCUUUUUUUUCUCUUUUUUUAGAGCACUCAUCUCCUUAAAUAAUAUAGCAAGUGGUAGUAACCAAGAUAACUCGAGCAUUUAUUGCAUAGGGAAUAACAAGGAUAGGAAAAUAUUUUUGGCUAUUCUCUCCCGGAUUAGGAGUAGAAUACUUUUGGGUGAAUCUGGAGAUGGAAGUGAGUGGAUAUAUGUGGAUGCGUACUUCCGGAGUAGAAGCAACAUGUGUGAGUGAACGUGCAAGUGAAUCUUGAUUCUAACCGCAUGACAAGCUCCUAAGGGUCUACACAGCUUGACCACACUCAAUGCUCAUAAGUAGUAAAAAGUAAAUGUGUGGCUCAAAGUCUAGCAAACAUGUAUAUAUGGCUGUGGUAGGAAUUUAAACUCUCAUCAUACAGGAACUCAUCAUGUGAUAUUUUGAAGAUUUUCAAAGAUAAAAUUCUCUAGAAUUCUAGCAUCUCUAGGAACAGAUAAACAGCAGCUCAACCUUCCCAUAUCAUAUCCAUUAACAACUUAGACUUUAGAUCAAGUACUCUUCCCACAAGUUCAGGUUUAGAGCAAGUCUUAAUUAAUAACAGUCAUGCCUAAACUUGAAAGAGAUUUCAAUUUUAAGAACUAGUCAUGGCAGAGCAACUAUUCAUCAUUUCCACGUGACAGCUUAUCAUGAGGGUUCAUAGCAAACUUUAUUUAUUUAUUUAUUUAGCAAACUAAACAAAGAUAUAUAUAAGCACAAAAUCUUUAUUUGGGUUUUUAUGAUUAUGCAUCUUUUUAUUAUUUGAGUAAAAUAUAAACAUGAGUAGAGCACUUAACUGGAUAAAUGGUGGUGCUCUCCCCCAAGCUGGAUUUUGCCGUAAUUCCUUCUGAUGUAGCUAGCAGGUGGCGGAGGUGUAUUUGAAUGUUGGUAGCCUCCUGACAGCGAUUCGGAUGUCCUCUGUCUACUAGUCUUCUUUGAUCCUUGAAUUCUGUGGAGCUCAAAUAGACAACAAAGCUUUGUGGAACUAGUUAAGUGUUAACAUAAAUAUCUAGCCUUUAUCAUGUUGAGCCUCCUUAAUAAAUGUUACACUCUUUAGUAGGAUCACAAUCUUAUUUUUACAAUUUUAUUUUUAUAGGACAGGAAUAUAUUUAUUUCAUUUUUAUGCCACCACAGUGAAUGUACUUAUGGGUUUUAUGCCAUGAGCAUAAUCACAUGGGGCUUACUAUUUUUAACAUUUUUAUUUUCUUUUCAAGAUGAUAUGAACCUGAUUAACUAAGCAAACUAUUUUAAAAUAAUUGAAAGGAAAAAGAUAACUACCAAGUUUACCUCUUGGCAAGGCGUUCGGUGUUUUUAAGUCCUCCGAACGGGUCUCUCCGUUUUCUCUGUCGUCCUAGGAUUCGCUGGAUGGUGUAGUCGGUGGUUCCGGCGGCGCCUCCUCUUCGUGUAUAACUAUCUUUUCUCUCCACACCUGACUCGGUGCUACGGUCUCCUCAGGACAGUUCUGUUUAAGUUGUAUGUCUUCAGAUCUUACCACUUCUCCUUCGUAGUCUGCCCAUCCAUCCUUGAUGAUUUGCCUCCUCUGGUUGCGGUUGCGUCGUCUUCUUUGUCUUGACCUGCUUAGAGUCUUCAUAUAUAUAUAGUUAGGGUCAGUAAAAUAGCGGCGUACCUUCUCAGAGGGGAAGUGCAUGUGGACUUCUCCGGUUCCAAUGUAGAUGAUUGCUUUAACGGUGCUGAGGAACAGUCUUCCAAGGGUGAUGGGUGGAUUGUACUUGUCUUCUUCCAUGUCAAUAACCUUAAAAUCAUCUGGAGCUAAAUGUAUGUCGGUUUUAGUGGCAUGGUUCCGAAUAGGAGCUGAUAGGUGACUGGGUCGUCCUUUUUGGUCAGGAACGGUGACUUAAGUCAACGAUCUUGACCUCCUUAAACUGCAGUGACCAUCUUGGUUGACUCGGUCCACAUUUGCUUGUUCCUGUUCCUCCUGUUGGUCAUCUUCCUUGGUUCAUGUCGGGAUUGCUCUGAGAUUUGUAUAGUCUUGUUCUUGAAGGAAAACGUCUCCUUCCUCUCCUUGAUGUAGAAACUGAUCUUGACAGCACUAGCAUAGAUGACAGCUCCCGAGGUGUUCAGGAAUGGCCUCCCUAGGAUGAUGGGUGCCCUCUCGUCAGUAUCAGUCUCUAUCACCACGAAGUCUGCUGGAGCGUAUAAGGUACCAACUCGGACAUAGAGGUUAUUCAAUAUUCCCUUUGGGAAACUUAGUGUCUGAUCUGCAAGCUGCAAACACAUGGUUGUUUCUAGGAAAGGAUGUGUAAAGAAUUUUUCAUAGAGUACCCUGGGCAUAAUGUUGACGCUGGAGCCAAGGUCGCAGAGUGCUUCUAGGAAGUCCACCAUGCCGAUGGAGAUCGGGAUGACGAGGCGUCCUGGAUUGUCUCUCUUGACCGGCAGAAGGUCAGUAAUUACUUCCACAGCAGGGUUACUCCAGUAGUUACGUCCUCAAGCAUCUCAGGGCAGUGAUUGCCUGAGUGUCCAGUAUCCCCAGUGUGUUUGAGCUCGUAGAUCUAGGUUCUUCACUUGGUGGAGUGUGGGAGUUGUAAAAGUCCUUCAUAUUUUGCUCGAAGUGUACCUGCUCGUAGAGACAAGGGAGAGAUCAAGUGCAUGGGCCCUGUUGGUGGAAAACACCAACAGAACCAAAAGUGUAUUUGUGCUUCUCUACCCUUAAGCAUAGUGAGCAAGACAAAGUUGAUGGAUAAUAAGAUCAUGAGUGCAGCAUUUAAAAUAUUUGUCAGAUCAGAUUGCUCAACCUAAUGGAAAGAUAAUCUCUCUAUAGUUAUGUUGUUUUUUUAUAUAUCUUCCAAAGAUUGAGCGUGCAACAUUUUAGCUCAUAAGAUUAGGAGUGUGGGAUCACAAAGAUGGAAGGACUACACAUGUUGAAUCGAUUGGGUUGGUUAAUCUAGAGUUGUAAAUCAUACAUGUUUGUCUCUUUUAUUCAUGUGAACGCCAGAACCAAGGAGAAGCUUGUAGAAGUGAAAGUCAAGUACCUUAAGAUGUUACCUUACUUGAAGAGUGAUGGUACAGUAUCACCUUGUGGAAGCUCUCCUUUCUUAGUGGUUGUGCAUCAUGUUUGUGGCACCCUCCAUGGAUCAUCUCUUGUGAGGUAUGCCUUCCUUGUGUAAAUUGUUAAACUUCAUGUGUCUCUCUCUUUGUCUCCAAUGUGAGUUUAUCUCUGGACUUCCCAGGUUGAUAUUGAAAGUUUUCCUGCAGGGGUUAGUCCAACAAAAUAUCCAGUAUCUACUAUAGCAUAAUAUUGGCUCAAAGAUUAACCUAGACACCAUGUCUAAUUUGAUUUAGGAGGGCAUUUUAACCUAAGCAUCAUGCUUAAUUUAAACUCCCUUUGAAGUAAGAUCAUCAGCCCUAAACUAAGCACCAUGCUUAAUUAAGAGAUAAAUGAAACUACUCAAAACCUAGACAUAUACUAAAGCAAAUAAAGGUAGCAUCAGAGCGUUUAUAGAGAUCUACUCAAGUGGAGAUGAAGUAGUGUGAUUAGUAUUUAACAAAUUGAGCAUGUCUCAAAGGUAGGGACAACCAACAUAGCAACAUGGCAAAGGAUGUUUGUAUGUAAAGUACUCCCCCAAGCUUGAAUUUUGCAAAAUUCAAGUUUGGAUGAAUUUAAUUCAAUGUUAUAUGAUGAUUGGUUGGACAUACCUUGUGCUUGUCAUUCAUCCGAUCUUCUUGCUCCAAUCCUGGAAAGGUUAGUGACAAGAAUACCCGAAGGAAUAUUUUUACAAUUAUCCUUAUAUGCUCAACACACAAGGUAAUGUUGCAAAUAAUUAAAAGCUCAUAUUACAAUCUGAUCAGUGCUUGUUUUAGGACACUAAGCUUGUCCUUGGGAAACCAUCAAUUUAUGUCAGUGAAGUGGUUUCCCCUCCAAUGCUGACCUAUAUCAAGAUCAACUCAAUGACAUCUAGAAAAUUUAUUAUAGACAUAUGCAUCGACAACUGCCCUUUUAAAGUUUUUAUAAACAAAAAGGAUGCGGGGGUUGGAGAUCUCGAAUGUGGUGAUGUUGGAGAGACCAAUGGAUUGUGAAGAUGUUGCAUAUGAGCAUGGAGUAAAUGAAGUGGCAAUGAAAUAAAUUCCAUGCUCAUUAAUGCUUAGAGUGAAAUCCAUGUGGUAUGGUGAAAAUGAUAAGGUGAGUGUGGUAAAAAAAGAAAAGAAAAAGGAUACACGGAUGACUUGGUUCGAAACUAGCACAGCUACCGUUCCCCGGCAACGGCGCCAGAAAGCUUGUUGGGUAUUUUAAACGCAAACAGAAAAAUCCACAAGCGCACGGAUAUCGAUGUAGCUUUCACCCGGGAGUAUUCCAGAGUAUCGAUUUUCCACAGAGAACGUGAGUGUACUAAUUAAGAUCCAAGAUCGCCCAAGGAUAACUAUAUAAUUAUUUUUGGUGGGAAGAGAGGAAGUUUCCUGAGAGUUCUCUAGUUGAUCUAAGAAUCAAGAAUUACUUCAAGAUUAUCUAUAUCGGGACAUCAGAGCACUAACCACAGAAAGAGAUGAGAAGGGGGCUAGGAAGGUCUGACUACGGUCCUACAAACACCGAUCCGAACGUGGUGGAAUACGUCGACCGUUAGGGCUGUCACUACCCUAAGGCUACCACAACAAUCCGCAGGAUUGGGUGCAAUUCCAGGUAAUUGCAAGACUAAACACCACGUCUAAUCUAUUAAUUACUACUCUAGCGUUAUAAAGACUAGAGCACUUGAUGCAAGCGGGAAUCCAAUAAAUAACUUGAAUGUAAAUAAAAGUAAUUAAAGAACUCAGGAUUAUGAAUUGAAGAACCUGGAGAAUGAUGAAGAACGAACUAGAUGCUGCAAAAGUAUAAUGUUGAGGAAGAUCCGACAGAUCCGGGUCCUCCUCCGCUCUCCUCUUCUCUCUCCCUAUUUUCUAGACUACAACUAGAACUAGAACUAGAGGAACUAGAACUAGAACUAGAUGAACUAGAACUAGAACUAGAUGAACUAGAGGUAGAACUAGAAGAACUAGAGGGAUCCUCUCUACUUGGAUGAAGAAUUGAAACCCUAACUUUGAUUCUGUAGAAGAGGUAUGCUCUCCAGGGGCCAGGGGGCCUUGCUUAUAUAGUCUUUUCAGAUGAAUCUGGGCCGUCGGAUCGAACCGACAUUAAUCGCACGGUUUUCCUUGGUCCCUUAGGUCGGUGGAGCACGAUCCGCGAAGUUGAAGCUGAUGGUUACUGUAGCUGGCGGGCACCCAAGGGACUUGGGCGGGCGCCCUGCCCCCGGCCCGAUCGGCCUCCCGUUCGUUCCCGUGGCUUCUGGAGUCUUCUAGAUGGUAGAAAAUUGCGCGGCACGUUAAUAUCUCUAUGUAAACCCGACGUGUGGGCUUUUCUUUCAUAUUUCCUGAUAACCUCCUGCAGAAAUAGACAAACACCAAAACUCGUGGAAUUCUGUCAGAUAAAACCCUAAGUCUAGGUGUUGGUUGCAUAUAAGUCUUUUUCCAUGAUUAGUUGAUGGUUAAAUGUGAGCAUUAAGGACCGUCAACAAGCCACUGGACGCUCUACUGCGUCACACCGGACGCGUCCGGUGCACACCGGACCCAUGUGCAGAGAGCUCCGCAAACUCGCACAGUCACCGGACGGACCCUGAGCGUCCGGUGCUCACCGGUCAGAAACUCCUCGCGCACACUCGCUGACAUCACACACCACCAGACGCUCGAACAGUAACCGCCCACCGUCCGGUGCCAGCGUCCGGUGCGCUCUACACACCUGAGCCACAGACACCACACCGGACGCUCUGGACCAGCGUCCGGUGCUGCCAACACCAGCGUCCGGUGCUCCCGCAACUUCUCCAAAAUUCCCACCGGCGCAAUAGAAAAUAUACACUUAAUUUUCUCAAAAGCGCCGAAUCCCGCCGAGGAACCCACACCCCUCUCAACCCUAGGAACUCCACCUCCUUUGUAAAUGUGCCAACACCACCAAGUGUACACCACCAUGUGCAAGUGUGUUAGCAUUUUCACAAACAUUUUCCCAAAGGAGUUAGCCUCUCAAACUUGCCGCGCCACUCGAUCCUAACACAUAUGCAAAGUUAGAUCGCUCAAGUGGCACUAGAUGACCGAUAUGCAAACAAGUUUGCCCCUCUUGAUAGUACGGCCAUCUAUCCUAAAUCCGGUCAUAAACUUCUCUACACACCUAUGACCGGUGAAAUAGAAAAGCCCUAGGUUAUACCUUUGCCUUGCGCUUUCCAUUCCAUCUCCUCCAAUGUAGAUGCAACACAUGCACCAACCCAUCACCAAAUGAUAUGAUCCUCUUCAUAUCAUCAUGUGACUGUAUUGGUUCAUCGAUCUUGACCUCACUUGCUCUUCACCGUUGCCUCGGUCCAUCAGCGCCAAGUCUUGCUCAAGCUUCACCGUCACACGCGGUCCCUCGCUUCAAAGCCUCUGACUUUCCCUUCACUCUUGCAACCGGUCCAUCAAGCCAAGCCACAUCUUGAUCUUUUCCACCUUGGUCACAUGACUCCAUGUCAUGUCUCAUAUGCAAUGAGCUCCUCCAUCAUCAUAUAAUCACCUGUGGACUAAUCUCCUAUGUAUCUCACAUAAACACUAUUAGUCCACCUAAGUUGUCACUCAAUUACCAAAACCAAACAAGGACCUUUCACACACUUAAGAAAUAAUGCACGCCAUUAAUGAACUCUUCGGAGCGCCGAUCGGCAUUAUACAACCAAUUACGUGUUACCAUCUGCAUUAAAUAUAACAUAUAUAUUAUGAAAACCAUGCACACAUAUAGUUUCUCAUCUUAUUGCACAAUAUGUCUAACACACAUAGUUGAUUAAUUCAAGCAAGCUUGGCUACAACAAAUACAAUCGCAACUAGCACUAAAAAACCAAAACUAAAAUGCACUUAAGCAACAUAAUUAGUUCGAGUCUCAUCCCAACUAUAAUAGAUAGAUAAUUUGCUUGAUCAACAUCAUUGAACUCCUUUUGCCGGCUCACUGCCUCAUCACCUUCAGCCUCAACCACCUGUGCAAAAGAUUUCUUGAUGUGUUGAAUGUAUUCUUCCUUCCAGUACCAACCUGUACAUCCGCCGGUACCGUCCCACUGAAAUUAAAAGAGAGAAUCAAAAGUUUAAUUAAUAUCAUUAAAAAAAUAAGCACAUAUAUAAGCAAAUGUCUAGAAAUAACUCACAUUACGAUCCGGACACUUGUAGAAUAUAGGACCGUUGUUUACUCCCUCUUUCGACACUCUGUACUCCAUCACAAUCUUCUACCCACACUUGCCACAAGCAAUGAGAGGGAGUUCCGGCCGGUAUCGCUUUUGAACCCGUUGAGAGACUGAAGACCCGGUCACGGUUGCCAUCUACUAUCCAUACUCAAUUUUUAAACAAUUAUAAAUUCCACAUUUACUAGUAAACAUGUAUGAUAAAAGAAGAACCUAAUAAUAUCCUUUAUUUGUCUAGUUACUUCAACAAAUCUUCUAAAUUAUACAAUGGACAUUAUGUAGUAAUAAAAACUUAUCAAGUGAUAUUAAUAAACCAAUUAAUUUGAACUAUCCUACUUUCUAAGAUCAUAAAAAGAUACUAUUGACAGUCCUUAAGUACCAAAUAUAAUCAGCAAAUAAACAAAGAAAAGGAUCCAAAUACAACCAACAUCUAAACUUAGGGUUUUAUCUGACAGAAAUCCACGAGUUUUGGUGUUUGUCUACUUCUGCAGGGGGUUAUCAGGAAAUAUGGAGAGAAGGCCCACACGUCGGGUUUACAGAGAGAUAUUAACAUGUCGCACAAUUUUCUAUCAUCUAGAAGACUACAGAAGCCACGGGAACGAACGGGAGGCCGAGCGGGCUCGGGGGCAGGGCGCCCGCCCACCCCCCUUGGGCGCCCGCCCAGCUACAAGUCCAAUCAGGAAUCUCUUCGGGGAUUACGCUCCACCGACCUAAAGGAUCAAGAAUAACCAUUCAAUCAAUGUCGGUUUGAUCCGACGGCCCAGGUUCACUUGAGGGGACUGUAUAACCAGACCCCCUGGCCCCUGGAGGAGGCACCCCUUGAUCAUUAUUCAUUAUUCAUAGAUAGAGCAAAAGCUAGGGUUUAGAGAUGAGAGCUCUCCUCUCUUCUCUAAACUAGAGUAGAUCUAGAUAGUAGCGAGAUGGAGAGCGAAGGAGGAUUAGAGGAGAGGCCGGCCUGUCGGUUCUUACUCCGGUUGUACUUCGCCAUGAUCAAGCUCUAAUCAAGUUUGCUCAUGGGAUGACUUUGGUAAUCUACUUCUAAUUCAUUAUGCAAUUACUAAUCAUGUAUGUUCUGGUUCACAACUCUUUUGAGUACUUCUAAUCCAUAGGGCCCUAUAGGUUAGAGUUGUAGUAUAGGUGUAGGUGUGGUGCUUAGACCUAGAUUACUUGUGGAUAUCCCCUGUCUAGCUGGAUCGUGUGGUAGGCCGCGUAGGUGACAGUUACAUUGGUUCUCUGUAGUCCACCUCUCGUUAGCAGGACGGGUAGGGUUUAUUGGCCUAUGUAUAAGCAUCCUUUGUGGUGUACUCUUAUCACGUGGUUCGUCCUAGACAUAGACAUACCCCUUUGAAGAAGAGAAACCAUAGUUAUCCUCUCUAUUCUACUACCAUCGCCCAUAUAUUAGAUUGCUCUACUCUCUAUUCCCAUAUUAUCACCCACUGUUAUCUUACCUUUAAUAUUGUUCUUAUUCAAUUCUACCAUCUUUCCUAUUUACACCUAUCUAUUUAUCUUGGUUAAGUUAGAGCAUAGAUCAGUUCUCCCGUUUCCCUGUGGAUACAAUAAAACCUUUAACUGGGUAAAAGGCUACAACGGUAUGCAUGCGCUUGCGGAUUUAUCUGUGUGCGUAUAAAUACCAUAGUACACUCUAGUGCCAUGCUAGGGAUGACAACCUAGUAUUCAAGUGGUGUUAGCAAGUGUCAACAAGCAUUUUUGGCGCCGUUGCCGGGGAAACGGUUGCUGAGUUGACUACGAACUAGCUUAAUCAUUUUCUAAAAAAAUAAAAUAUAUAUAUUUUUUUCCUUUUAUCUUUUGCCUUAUCUCUGCUAUUCUUUCUUCUUAUCUAAUCCUUGAUCUCUGGUCUAUUAUGAAUUCAAACAUGUCUAUCUAUGAAUUUCAUAGACCUGUGGGCACACAUCUCGAACCACCAAAAUCUUCAAAGCCUAUCAUAGCAUCUAGUUUUGAGAUAGACCCCGAAUACAUAGAAUUUGUUCAAAAACAACCUUUCUCAGGAGAAGGUUAGGAAAACCCAUACACUCACCUAAGAGAGUUUUAUCGAGUCUGUGACCUCCUUCGCAUAGAAGGCAUGUCCGAUGAGACCCUUAAAUGGAAGCUCUUUCCGUUCUCUUUAACGGGAAAAGCUAGACAUUGGUACAAACUCAAAGUAGGGAGUGUUCAUGGAGAUUGGAAGGAGUUAUAUAAUAGUUUUCUUUCUAAAUAUUUUCUAAUCUCCAAAGUGGCGGAACCUCGGCGUAAGAUUCUUUCUUUUAGACAACUAGAAGAAGAAUCUCUUGGCAAAUCAUAGGACCGCUUCAUUAACCUUACUCUCACUGGCCCAAAGCUUUCUAUUCCAGAAGAAGUUCUUCUAAUUCACUUUUUUGAGGGCCUUAGUAGGGAAAAUAAGCGAACCCUUCAUGCGGCCUCUGGAGGAUCUUUCCACCACCUAUCCGCUAGUGAAGCUUGGAAUUUGAUUGAUUUAAUGAGCGGAAAGUCUCCUAGCUUUUAUAUCCCUGAGAAAGAGAAAGAACCAGUUCCUAGACAAGAAGAAGAAGUUUCGAUAGCCAGAUCACAACCACUUCAAUCCCAAACUUUAGCUAUCGAUCCUAAACCAUCAAUACCCCAAAAUUCUCUAAGGGAGGAAGGAAUUCUGACCUUAAAUCUUUCAGAUACUGAUGGUUUAGACUUCUGGUUCCAUAAGAGACCUUCAAGCAGGGAUAAUUCAAAUCCUUGCAAUAAUGGUUCUCUUAGAGAAUGUCCUGGUUUCUGUUAUGAAGAAGUUGAGGAUGACAUAUCAAGUGAAGGAGAGCUAAACCAUAUAGAAAAUCCUAUCUGCUCCCCUUCCAUGUUCACAAAUUCUAAAUCCAUCCUUGACCUUAGAGACCCCUCUUAUCCCUCUCCUUUUAAGUCUCAUGAUGAUCCUAGCAAUCCAUCAAAAUGAUCAAACCAUAGGAGUCAUAAAGACCAUGAGGAUGACGUGUCAAGUAAUGUCAUAGAAGGAGAGCUAAGCCAUAUAGGAAAUUCUAACACCUCCCCUUUCCUGAUCACAAGUUCUAAAUGGCUAGAAUGUGUAGAAUGGAUGGAUAAGGAAGAAGACUUAAUGGAUUCUGACUUUGGCUCAAUUUCAAAUGGUGAGUUCUUGACUCCUUUUGAAGAUGAGAUUUAUCCAACUACAGAAGAGGACACAGGUGAGACCAAUUCAAGAGAAACUCCAAACAUUCAGAUUGGAGACGAAGAUAACAUUAAUGAGUAUGGAAUUUAUUUCAUAGCCACUUUGUUUACUCUAUGCUCAUAUGCAACAUCUUCCCAAUCUAUUGGUCUCUCCAACAUCACCACAUUUGAGAUCUCCAACCCCCUCUUCCUUUCUAUUUAUAAAAACUUUAAAAGGGCGGUUGUCGAUGCAUAUGUCUAUAAUAAAUAUUGCGGAUCUCGUUGAGUUGAUCUUGAUAUAGGUCAGCGUUGGAAGGGAAACCACUUCGCCGACAUAAAUUGAUGGUUUCCCAGGGACAAGCUUAGUGUCCUAAAAUAAGCACUGAUCAGAUCGUAACAUGAGCUUUUAAUUAUUUACAACAUUACCUUGUGUAUUUAGCAUAUAAGGAUAAUUAUAAAAAUAUUCCUUCGGGUAUUCUUGUCACUAACCUUUCCAGGAUUGGAGCAAGAAGAUCGGAUGAAUGACAAGCACAAGGUAUGUCCAACCGAUCAUCAUACAACAUUGAAUUAAAUUCAUCCAAACUUGAAUUUUGCAAAAUUCAAGCUUGGGGGAGUACCUUACAUAAAAACAUCCUUUGCCAUGUUGCUAUGUUGGUUGUCCCUACCUUUGAGACAUGCUCAAUUUGUUAAAUACUAAUCACACUACUCUAUCUCCACUUGAGUAGAUCUCUAUAAAUGCUGUCAUGCUACCUUUGUCUAUUUUCUAGCAAGUGUUGGUUUGGAAGUACUCGACAUACUUCCAUUGGCAUUUAAAUUGAGCAUGGUGCUUAGGUUAAAUAGCCUUCCUUAAUCUGAUUAGACAUGGAGUCUAGUUUGGUUACUGAACUAAAAACUGCUUGAGUAGAUAUUGGUAUAUUUUGUCGGACUAACCCCUAUAGGAAAACUUUCACUAUCAACCUGGGAAGUCCUGAGAUAAACUCACAUCAGAGAUGAAGAGAGUAACACAUGAAGUUUAACAAUUUGCACAAGAAGGACAUAGCUCAUUCACCAUACAGAGAUGAUCCAUGGAAGGAGACAAAGUACAUAAACAAGAUACACAACCACUACGAAAGAAAAGCUUCCACAAGGUGAUACUAUACCAUCACUCUUCAAGUAAGGUAACAUCUUAAGAUAUCUGACUAUCACUUUUAUAAGCUUCUCCUUGGUUCUGGCGUUUACAUAAAUAAAGAGACAAACAUGUAUGAUUUAUAACUCCAAAUUAACCAACCCAACUGAUUCAGCAUGUUUAGUCCUUUAAUCUUUGUUCCUAGUACUACCUCCAUGAUCCCACACUCCUAACCAUAUGAGCUAAAAUGUUGCACAUUUAAUCUUUGGGAAGAUAUAAAGAAAAAGGCAUAUAUAUAGAUAGAUUAUCUUUCCAUUAGGUUGAGCGAUCUGAUCUGGCAAAUGUUUUAAAUGCUACACUCAUGAACUUAUCAUUCAUCAACUUUGUCUUGCUCACCAUGCUUAAGGUUAGAGAAGAACAAAUACACUUUUGGUUCUGUUGGUGUUUUCCACCAACAGGGCCCAUGCACUUGAUCUCUGCCUUGUCUCUAUGAACAGGUACACUACGAGCACAAACACACUGAGCAAGAUACUGCCAACACCGCACUUCGAACUACUGGGCAAACGAAGAACAUGGGUGACACCGUAUUAAGAGGUGCAGACGUCAAGGUCCACACCUGAAUCAAAUGACACACCUGAAGAAUGAACACGGUGAGAAGUCUUGUUCAGAAGACUUAAAACAUUGAAUCCUCGCCGAAAGGUAAAAUCGGUAGUUAUCCAUAUUUAUCCUUUCUGCAUUCCCUUUUCCCAUUAAUUAUUUACUUUCCUUAAAUAGAUUAUUAGUUAAUCAUGCUAUCUUGAAAAUAAAAUAAAAAUGUUAGUAAGCCCCAUAUGAGUAUGCUCGUGGCAUAAAACCUAUAAGUACAUUCACUGUGGUGGCGUAAAAAUAAAUAUAUUCCUGUCCUAUAGAAAUGAAAGUAUAAAAAUAAAUUUAUGAUCCUACCAAAGAGAGUAAUAUUUAUUAGAGGAAGCUCAACAUGACAAAGGUUAAGAGAUUUUAUGCUAACACUUAACCAGUUCCACAAAGCUUUGUUGUCUGUUUGAGCUCCACAGAAUUCAAGGAUCAAAGAAGACUAGCAAACGGAGGACAUCCUAAUCGUUGUCAGGGUGCUGCCGACAUUACACCUCCACCACCUGCUAGCUACAUUAGAAGAAAUUACGUCAAAAUCCAGCUUGGGGGAGAGCACCCCCAUUUAUCCAGCUAAGUGUUUCUACUCGCGUUUAUACUUUACUCAAAUAAUAAAAAGAUGCAUAAUCAUAAAAACCCAAAUAAAGAAUUUGUGCUUAUAUAUAUAUCUAUGCUUAGUUUGCUAAAUAAAUAAAUAAAUAAAGUUUGCUAUGAACCCUCAUGAUAAGCUCUCACAUGGAAAUGAUGAAUAGUUGCUCUGCCAUGACUAGUUCUCAAAAUUGAAAUCUCUCUCAAGUUUAGGCAUGACUGUUAUGAAUUAAGAUUUGCUCUAAACCUGAACUUGUGGGAAGAGUACUUGAUCUAAAGUCUAAGUCGUUAACAGAUAUGAUAUGGGAAGGUUGAGUUGCUAUUUAUCUGUUCCUAGAGAUGCUAGAAUUCUGGAGAAUUUUAUCUUUGAAAAUCUUUAAAAUGUUGCAUGAUGAGUUCCUGUAUGAUGAGAGUUUAAAAUCCUACCACAGCCACAUAUACAUGCUUAUGAGACUAUGAACCAUACAUUUACUUUUUACUGCUUAUGAGCAUUGAGUGUGGUCAAGCUAUGUAGACCCUUAGGAGCUUGUCAUGCGGUUAUAAUCAAGAUUCACUUGCACGUCCACUCAUACAUGCUGCUUCUACUCUAGAAGUAUGCAUCCACAUACAUCCACUCAUUUCCAUCUCCAGAUGCACCCAAAAUUAUUCUACUCCUAUCCGGGAGAGAAUAGCCAAAAAUAUUAUCCCAUUCCUGUUUUUCUCUGUGAAAUAAAUGCUCGAGCUAUUUUGGUUACUACCACUUGCUACAUUAUUCCAGGAGGGUGAGUGCUCUGAAAAAAAGAAGAAAAAUACGAGGAAAUAAAAAGGGGCAAGUGCUCGGAACCUCGAAAGAAAAAAGAAAAAGUGAGACGAGAGGUAAAAAUGGACAAGUGUCCGAUAGUAGAAUUAGGGGUACAAGAUACCCACCUGAGAGAAAAGAAAAAGAAAAUAUAGAGCAUCUCAUUCCUCUCAAAAACCUUCAAAGUGCAAGAAAGGUAUGUAUCCCCUCAAAAGAGCAAAAGUAGAAUUAGACUUUCACCAUUAUUUUCACCAUCAUCACCAUACACUAUUCAUCCACCACAGAUGCACAUCUUGGUUUGACUUAUUGACUUGUUUCUCUGGAUCCAUGGUUUGACUAUGCAAUAAAUGUCUUGUAAGUAUGUAUUAGUUGUCUCCCACCUAUGAGCUCCAGAUAUCAAACCUUAUUAGAGUAGGGUGAGAGAGAAGGCAAUAUCACUAUGCCUCAUACCACAAAUACUACAUACUUUGAGAGAAGGCGUAUAUUAUCACUGCCUUGGUAAGGAUCUAGAAAUACCACAAAAGAGAGACUAGAGAGAGUCAUACAAGGAAUCUCUGAGUUUUAUUUGAAAAUCUGCAAAAACUCCAGAGCUAUAGUUGAUCAAAGAACAAGAGACAUGGUGCUUGACUUGACUGUUCUAUCUUUUAACUGCUCAAGACACAAGUGACGGUUGCAAGCCCCAUCGUGAAAGCUAAUAUGAGUAAGUUUUAAAUCUUAACAAUUUACCCUAACCUAGAGAUGAGAUCUUGUUUAAACGCAUGUGUACCUUUAAGGCAUAAAACCACUGUAGAAACUCUUGAGUCCAUCCUUGCUCAGAGACGAGCAAGAGGUAAGCUUGGGGGAGUUGUUGACGGUCCUUAAGUACAAAAUAUAAUCAGUAAAUAAACAAAGAAAAUGAUCCAAAUACAACCAACAUCUAAACUUAGGGUUUUAUCUGACAGAAUUCCACGAGUUUUGGUGUUUGUCUAUUUCUGUAGGGGGUUAUCAGGAAAUAUGGAGAGAAGGCCCACACGUCGGGUUUACAUAGAGAUAUUAACGUGCCGUGCAAUUUUCUAUCAUCUAGAAGACUCCAGAAGCCACGGGAACAAACGGGAGGCCGAGCGGGCUCGGGGGCAGGGCGCCCGCCCACCCCCCUUGGGCGCCCGCCCAGCUACAGAGUCCAAUCAGGACUCUCUUCGGGGAUUACGCUCCACCAACCUAAAGGAUCAAGAAUAACCGUUCAAUCAAUGUCGGUUUGAUCCGACGGCCCAGGUUCACUUGAGGGGACUAUAUAACCAGACCCCCUGGCCCCUGGAGGAGGCACCCCUUGAUCAUUAUUUAUUAUUCAUAGACAGAGCAAAAGCUAGGGUUUAGAGAUGAGAGCUCUCCUCUCUUCUCUAAACUAGAGUAGAUCUAGAUAGUAGCGAGAUGGAGAGCGAAGGAGGAUUAGAGGAGAGGCCGGCCUGUCGGUUCUUCCUCCGGUUGUACUUCGCCAUGAUCAAGCUCUAAUCAAGUUUGCUCAUGAGAUGACUCUGGUAAUCUACUUCUAAUUCAUUAUGCAAUUACUAAUCAUGUAUGUUCUGGUUCACAACUCUUUUAAGUACUUCUAAUCUAUAGGACCCUAUAGGUUAGAGUUGUAGUAUAGGUGUAAGCGUGGUGCUUAGACCUAGAUUACUUGUGGAUAUCCCCUGUCUAGCUAGACCGUGUGGUAGGCCGCGUAGGUGACAGUUACGUUGGUUCUCUGUAGUCCACCUCUCGUUAGCAGGACGGGUAGGGUUUAUCGGCCUAUGGAUAAGCAUCCUUUGUGGUGUACUCUUAUCACGUGGUUCGUCCCAUACAUAGACAUACCCCUUUGAAGUAGAGAAACCAUAGUUAUCCUCUCUAUUCUGCUACCAUCGCCCAUAUAUUAGAUUGCUCUACUCUCUAUUCCCAUAUUAUCACCCACUGUUAUCUUACCUUUAAUAUUGUUCUUAUUCAAUUCUACCAUCUUUCCUAUUUACACCUAUCUAUUUAUCUUGGUUAAGUUAGAGCAUAGUUCAGUUCUCCCGUUUCCCUGUGGAUACGAUAAAACCUUUAACUGGGUAAAAGGCUACAACGGUAUCCGUGCGCUUGUGGAUUUAUCUAUGUGCGUAUAAAUACCAUAGUACACUCUAGUGUCAUGCUAGGGAUGACAACCUAGUAUUCAAGUGGUGUUAGCAAGUGUCAACAGAUACUAUAAUUCAUUCUUGCAAACUACAUUAAUACUAGGUCAACCAUGAAAUAUGAUAUAUAUACAUAGAUACUAAUUCAAGUGAAUGAUUCAAAAUAACAAAGUGGAUUUGAGCUAAAAAUAAUGGGAAAAUCACAAGCCAAAAACAACAUGAAAAAGACAAAAAAAGAUGAAGUUAGUCACCUCUAAGCACGAAGAGACGAUGACGGAGUCAAAGAAGAUCAACGAUGGGCGUCAGAGAUGAGGAACAAAGGAAGAACAAGCAAGAACAACAAAAUAGAAGCUCUAAGAACGACCAUGGUGCUCUCGGUUUCGAAUGGGCAGAGGGGAGGAGGUAGCCGGCCUAUAAACCGGACCUUUAGCACCGGUUCAGAGCACAAACCGGUGCUAAAGGGUCACCCUUUAGCACCGGUUCGUGUUACCAACCAGUGCUAAAGGGUUUGCCUCGGCCCAUGGCACUGGCCGGUGAUAUAAAGGCCCCUUUAGCACCGGUUGGUAACACGAACCAGUGCUAAAGGGUCCCUGCCCGGACAACACCUGUUAGUAGCCGUUGGGCAGGACCCUUUAGCACUGGUCCUUGUUCCGAACCGGUGCUAAAGGGGCCUUUAGCCCCGAGCCGCAAAAAAGCCGAGGUUUUUGGAGAUUUUAGGCAUCGACCAAUGCCUCAUUCUGUAGUAGUAGUGUUGUCUACUAAACUAAACACGUUAUGUGUUUGGUCUUUAUUAUGUAAAAAAAAAUGUGCUGGAGAGAUCUCACGGCAUUCUGUAAGUCUGAACCAAGUAGUACGAAAAUUUGGAUAUGGAGAAUCAUCAACAUUUUCAUUUCUUCUCUAAUAAUAAGGAUAUGUUUAGUUCCCUAUUAAAUACAAAAUACAAAAUAUCAAUUACUUUGGAAUAAUGAAAUACAAAAUGUCAAUUUAUUUUAUAGUUGUGUUUAGUUCCAUCUAAAAUGCUAAAUUUUUUCAGGUGCUGGCGGGGUGGGCACGGGCUCCCAGGUGUUUUUGGGCUUUUUUAGCCUCUUGAGACCAAAAUUCAAAACGGCGAAUAUCCAUAUUUUUAGUAAAAAUUUUUACAUGGUAUUUAGUUUCAUUAUGGAAAAUAAUAGAUCCAAAUAUAAAAUUUUAUGAUGAAAAGAGAAAACACCCCCGCAUUUUGGGAUGUGUUGUUUUCCGAUAUAAAGGGAUGGUAGAAUUGUUGCUGUGACCAAUCUUGUUGUACAUGUUUAUCAGUGGGCCUACUAGUGACCUCCUUGGUGGCAUGUUCUGGCCAGACUGCAGAAAGAAUAACUGUGGCAGGUGUUUUCCCUUUUUCGUAGUGGACAAACACGUUCGCCACAGUCAUAAGGCCACGGUAAAUCGUGUNNNNNNNNNNNNNNNNNNNNNNNNNNNNNNNNNNNNNNNNNNNNNNNNNNNNNNNNNNNNNNNNNNNNNNNNNNNNNNNNNNNNNNNNNNNNNNNNNNNNCUGCAUCUAGCUUCGAAUACAUUUAUUACCUAACAGACCGAAGCAAUAGCGGACCACGAGACUUUUGACCCUGGCAAAUUUUAAUACGAUGAGUAUUUGCUAUAGAAAAAUUGGAAACCGCUAAUGCGCGGCCGGCCGUGCAUUAAGCUUCCGGUACGCACAUUCCGUUUACGGAAGGUUUUUUAAAACCAUCAGUAACCAUUCCUAUUUGCUUUUGCACUCCUUUUUUCUCUUGUUGUCGUUUUCUACUUCUUCCAACUAACUCGCUGCUCCUAGAUUUUCUAGGCAUUAUUUAGCUCAUAUCCCAAAUAUUACAAAUUUGAUACAUUCACCAAAAUAAGCCGAAAUCAAAUAUAAACUAUUCAUCACACAUGACAUUUUGGACAUCUUGAGAUAUUUCGUAUAACAAUCCACAUAUGUCAUUUUGGGCACCUUGAGAUGUUUUGUAUAGCAACUCAGGCUUCUUAUAGAAGGGAACGUAUCCUGUGUAACCCAGCUUCGUGUGCAACCUAUGCAACUAUCAAUUAAGGCCACAAGAUCUAAAUCCAACGUCUGAGGUUUUUUCAUUUAAACCCUCCCAUCUAGAUACACACGGGUUAGAUUUAAACCCACAGGUGGAGGGGUUUAAGUGAAAAAAUCCUCAGACGUUAGAUCUAGAUCAUGUGACCUUAAUUGGUGGUUGCAUAGGUUGCACACGAAGCUGGUGCAUAUGAUACGUUGCCCUUAUAGAAUACAUAGACGAAAAGGUAGAUAUUAUGUACUACUACGAUAGAAAUACAUCUUGUUUGGACUAAAUCUCCUUGUGUUGGUAAUAUAUAUACUGAUCCACCAUGCAUCCCGCUUGCACACAUGGCUCUCUUUGUUCAUUUUAUCCCAUGUUGAUGCUUGAGAGACCAUCACACCUGCAAGUAAAAAAUGUUAAAAAAAUUUAGGCUUGCAGCAACUAGAUGUCAUAUAGCAUAUAUAAGUACUGAAACCUUGUCUAUGCAAAUGCAUAAACAUGAGGCACACCAUAGCAUGUUACUGAACAAAAAUUGCAUAACCUUGUGUUUUUUUGCCUAAUCCAGUACACUAUUAUUGUCUAAUAAAUUUGACUAACUACCUUGCAUGCCAUGAUAUAGCAGCACACAUCUAUCCUAUACACUUAAAGUUGUAGAUUGCUCCCCCUCUCACAAAACUCCUAUACAUGAACAGCUCCCAGACUCAGAACACUGUUCUGGUAACAGUAUCCAAGCAACCACCGUCGGAUCAGGCCGUAGUGAGCACCUACCGUCCAUGCAAGGAAUCAUCAUAUAUGUGUCAAAAAUAUAGAUUUGGAUGAGCUACCUCCAGAUUUUCAAUAGAAGGCUACAUUGCCUAUUUAGGAGCACAUUGUUGCCUAACAAAUGACUUAAUUUGCCUACAUGCCAUGAUAUAGCAGCACACAUUUAUACUAACUGUCUUGCAUGAAAGGAAUCAUCAUAUAGGUGUCAAAAAUAUAGAUCUGAAUGAGCUACCUCCAGAUUAGCAACAAAAGGCUAAAAUGCCUAUUUAUGUGCACAUUGUUGUCUAACUAAUGACUUAAAUUGCCAUAAAAAUGACACUUAAAUUGCCUAAGAAAAUGGUUGUGUUUUUCUUUUGCGUGUGUGCCAUCAUACCUCGUUGCUGCCAUUUGGACACCGGCACACAUACUCCACAAAAUCCCUGCCCUCUAGACAUUGUAUGAAGAACUAUCCCUGUAAAUGCAUGCAAAAAAGAGUUGUUUUCAUUACAUUUGUAUAUAGCAAGAAGCAAAAAAAACAUCACAGGUAAAAUGCCUACAAUCUGAGAAUAGAACAAAGGGCAACUAGCUCAAUAAUAUAAGUCAUCUAGUAUUUUCAUGUGUGCUUAGAAAUAAGGAACUCACAUGAAGAAAAUUUGGUAGUUAGCCUACUCGGUGGCUAUUAUUUGGUUGUAGCUGCACCUUAUUGCAGUUAUACCUACAAUAUAGUCUAGUUCACUUUUGCGGCCAAAAUAGCAGCAGCCGGCUGUAAGAAGUUGCAUUUUCUUAGGCAAUUUAAGUGUCAUUCAUUAGACAACAAUGUCUUCUUAAAUAAGUAGUUUUUGUAUUCUGAAAAAGCAAGUAUAGUAUUUGUGUUCAUUAGCAACCCACAACCCCACUCCCACCCCCGGUGUAAAAAUAAGCAGAGACAUAUGACUGUAUGAACCAUCACCUAGCAUUGCUAUAGAAGUAACAUGUAGUACAUCUUUGGCAUGCAGAUCUCCAAUGAAUGUAGAAGUGUUAAACCUAAAUCACAAGAAUACAAGAGAAAAAGAGAAGUAGGGAUCAGUUCAGAGCAGAUCCCAGAUGUGUAUAGAAAGAUUCAACAACAUGUCAAAAGGUAAGAUGAUAAGACUGGUAACCAUAAAGUGAAACAGAUGGUAAAGAGAUAUAUGCAUCUUUGAUCUUUCCACCUAUAGUUCUUUCAAAAGUGAUAAUUGUUAACACUAAAAACCAAGUAAAAAAAUUAGUGUGAACUUAGAGAAAGUUACCAUGAACAAAAAUCUGGGUGUUAUCAUGUCUACUAAAAACGUUAAUUGAAACUGUAGGAUCUAUCAAUUUGUUUCACUCGACUUUAGUUGGUAAAUGUUUUCCAAACUCCAACUUAAUUUCACUAUCUUACCAGUUUAUUCUACUGGUGUUCUCAAUUGGUAACUAUUUUUCCAAAUCCUACUUAAUUAAGCAAGCUUGCAUUCGCAUCUCAGUAGUUCACUUAGCAGAAAGAAAAAUAUAAUAGAAUUAAAUCAUUCUACAAACACUCACAUCGUUGCAGCCUUUAUAAAGAUGCUUCCCCUAGAACCACCUCCACCCUUCUCAUUGCUAUCCCCACCUGUGCAUUCAUGACCAGGUCGUCAUCAUAAAUGGUAGCAAAAAAAGCUGAUAUGUUGCGUAUCUAAAUGAUAUAUCGUUGCCUAUCCAAUGUUAUGUUAUUGCCUGUAUGAGCCCUUAUUGUUGCCCCGCCGUAUAAAUUAAACCUAGAGGAGGAUUAACAAUGGCAUAGCAGGUAGCUAGCUAUUGCCACCUCCAACUUGCCUAUGUGCUAUGCUUGAGGUGAUGAGGAGGAGAAUCGCAUCAGCAGAUGAAUUAAUGGAUGAAUGAAUGAAUAAACAAGCCUGGUUGGUGCAGAGUACAGCAGCCGGUGGAGCAAUUGGACAAAGAUUGCAUGUGGUUGUCAGAAGACAGAUGAUGCAUCAUUGGAAAUGCAAGCCAAGGUUAGUACUAUAAAAUGUGAUAAUCACAAUCGGGUACCAAAAAGGUUCAGAGUGAUGGCUGCCGUACUUCAAAAUUUUGCAUCAGAGAUGUAGACAGAGGUAAAAUUUUACGGUUCAGUUCUGUAACCUAGCCUCAUUCAGUCUAUAUAACGUAAAUGUUGGCAAGAAAAAAUCUUACUCUGAUUUGUUUUGAAUCUUUUGAAUGAAGAUCUAUAAUACUAGAGUAUUGACAAUGUUUAGAAAAAAUCUCGUUAGUUGAUACAAUAAGCAAUUAUUAAAAGGACAGGGAAAUGUGAAUCAUCAUAAUUCAUACGCACAAGGUAAGGGUUCAACUAGAACGGUGACUGAAACUUACCCCCACAGUGCCACCAUUACUCAUGACAUCUAAGAAGUAGUGCCCGUGAGCAUGGCCAUUAUGCCAGCUCCUCUCACCAUUAUCCUUGGAAGCCUUGAUCUUUCUUCUUGACAACUUGGAUAACUGCAAGAAAGUAAACAAACAGAUACAGAGCAGGACCCAACGACAGUGACACAACAAAGCUGUUAUUGUUGCCUAUCUAAAUAAUAUAUAGUUGCCUAUCCAAUGUUAUGUUAUUGCCAGUGUGAACUCUUAUUGUUGCCUAUGCAGUGCUAUAUUGUUGCUUAAACAUAUAAAGGUGUCAAAUGCAGAAUCUUAAAUACACCUUCUAACUUCUUUGUCCUCUGUUUUGAGCAGUACUCAAUGAUCUUAAAUCAACUGCUCAACAAGCAUCUGCAUGCAUCUACAAGAGAAUGACCAAAUUAAAAUCCCAUCAUUCAGUCACACACUUAAUAAGCACCAGAACAUUGUGCCCUCAAAUACCAACAUAUAGAUUACAAAACUACAUAUACAACAACCACGAAAAUCGUAAAGCAAAAUUAAAACUAAAACCACUCAAUCAUAAUCACUGAAUAUUAAAAAAAUAGAACAGGAUCUGGAUCUCACAUUAUUACCUAACUGUCAAUCUGUCACCGACGAAGGAUUGGGAGCGGGCAGGACCGUGCAGCCGACAGGGAAAAGAGCCAGUGGAGGGCCGAAGGGCCUGCAAGCCGGCCGGCUUGGUCCCUGAUGUAGCCGCGCAGGCGGUCUGGGAAGCUCCUCGCCUGCAUAGCUAGUUAGGCGGGGGAGGUGACCGACGUGACCUUGGCUGUGGCCACCGGUCGGCUAGGCUCGGCCCCAGGCGCAACCGCGUAGGAAGGAGCUCUGGCCCCUGGCAGUGGAGGUCGGGUUGGGGAAUGUAUGACCUGCAACCAUGGAUGAGGCGUGGGGAAAUCGAAUAAAAACAAAUCAGCAUCAAAAUCAAUCAGCUCACAAUUACAGGCGAAUCGAUUAAGCGACGGCGACUUGCCUCACAACACUAUAGCAUUGAGCGAGGCCACUAGAUCGUGGAUCUAGGGCAUCAGACCCUGGAUCUAGGCCGCCUGUCCAUGGAUGCGGCGACGCCCACGGCACUAUCCAGGUGGCGGUGCAGGGAGGCGGCGACGGGGAGCAGGAAAGGGUCAGCGCUGGGGAGCGAGUCCACUGGAGCAGGUCGUGCUCAUGGAAGAAAGGUGACCACGCGGGCCGGGGGAGAGAGAGAGACAGGGGCGAGUGGAAGACGAGCAGGUGGGCGACGACGAGCGUAAGAAGUGUCCGUGUGGGGCGAUAAUAAGAUGACGGCCGGCCAAAACAAAGUCUUUACCUUUUUUUAAAAAAAAAACCCGAGGAACUAAACUUUUCAAGGAACCGAACGGAUAACCAAAUGCCAAUCCCCUAAAUACUGGAUUGAGGUGGACGCAAGUCCGGCACAAAAAGGCCAUAUGGAUUUCUGACGUGUUUCGUGGGUACCUUCCAACUAUUUCUGACUGCAUGACAAAUAUGUACGAAUUCGGACAGAGCUUGCCUCACAUGUUUCUGUACCACCAAAAACCAGGUAAAUAGACCAGUUGAAACAAAACUGUACAGCUCGAGAGGCUAACACUAUCCCCACCAAAGAACAAGUGGGCGUGUUUGGUUGCCCCUUCUCCCCCAUCCUGAUUUUGCUCAUGCGUAUAUAUAUACCAAAAGAAGCUUCUUUGGUUGCCUUCAUUUACUGUUCUAUGCUAUAAUCAACAAUUGUACUCCUGUUAUAAAAAACAAUUGUACUCCCACAUGUGAUAUGCACUACUACAGGAUUGAUUAACCGCAACGAGCCCAUUUCCACCUCCGUGGCAGGCACAGUUUUCAUCCGCCACGGUUAUUCAACCGCACACAAUUACUUUUGGCCACAGGAACGCCCGCUGCGAAGACAAUGGCAAAGGACAAGGCGAUGGCCAUGGCCAGGACAAGGAGAAGGCACAAGACGAGGACGAUGGCGGAGAUAAGGAGAAGACACAAGUAGAUGAGGGGGACAAAGACAUGGGCACAACCUGUGCCCCUCCUCCAAACAGCCCACCUCGGAGCCCAAACAGACAACAAGGAGGCACGGAGGAGGCAACGAGGACUAAGACACCUCUGCCAACAGCUACUCCUACGCUUGAAGCCCCCUCCUCCACCAAGCAAGGAUGCAUGCAUGACCGCUAAGGAUGAAAACGGAACAGAAAUAUCGCAAACCGAACCGAACCGCUUUCUAUAUUGGAUCCGAUCGAAUUUAUAUUUUCUUGUCCGACUUUACCGUUUUCGCUUUUGUAUUUUAGAUGUUUCGUAUUUCAAAUGUAAAAGUAGAAAACGGUUUAGACAUUUUUCGACCGUUUUCUACUUUUCUACUUUUAAUUUGAAAUAUUUUGAAUUCAAAAUUUGGUUUAAAUCGAAUUUAGUCAACUGCACGGUCACACAGCCCCAAUUACAGAGUACUCACCAAGGAUUUGUGUUCUUUCUACUAGUGGCUAGCUAUGUUCCUGCUAGCUAUUAAUUGUUUGUUCUUAUUUAUGUGUGGGCUAUUGUAUUAAAUACCUAAGACCAAGAAUCAUGCACUUUUUAAUUAUUAUAUGCACUUAAACUUGAUCGUGUGUAUACUUAGUUAUGCACUUGGUACUACACAUCGGUAUUUCGUAUUGAGUUUCCGUAUAUCGACCGUGUUCGACAUAAAUCUGCUUGAAUUGGUUCGUUUUCGAAAUUCUUGAUAUUUCGUAAGUUCGCGUUCGUUUUCGUGUCCGACUUUACCGUUUUCGUUUUCGUUUUCGUUUUCGUAUUUCAAAUGUAAAAAUAGAAAACAAUUUAGGAGUUUUUCGACCGUUUUCAUCCUUAAUGACCGCCACACUGCUCCCGUACACUACUACGUCCGAAAGGUAUGAGAUAAACAAACAUAAUAUUCUCGUAACCUUUCUAUAACACAUCAAAUGGUAAUAACAUUUGUAUCCAUGUUUUGCCAGGCCUACAAAUACUCUUCAGAUCAAUCUAUUUACCGAGGCGGAAGACUGUCCUGGCCACUAUGAGCUUGGAAAGUUCAUGCUACCUAAGGCUCAGCUCAUCGACGAUGAAAAGUGGGAUACAAGGAAGUUCCACCUGUGGUAUAUGGAAGCGGCAAAAGCCGAGAUGACAGGUUUCACCGUCAAGAUUCCCAAGGAGUUGUUCCACUUGCCCGGUGGCGAUAUUCAGCUACAUGUGGACUUCUAGGACAUGUACAAUCUAUUGCGGGAUGAAGACCUUGACAUCGUCCAAAUCACCUUAUUCUCUCUGUAACUGAUGAUUGCGACCUUCAUAGACCAAUCUCUACAUUUGUAUUGGAGAACUAUAUGAUUUUUAGGACACGAUGACUUGUCCGUGCAGGUUGACGGUCACUAUUAGCAACAAAAGGCACCAUCCUAUCCUAUACCUCUCUCCAAUGCAUAUUGCUAAGAGAGUGAUCAAGGGUUUCAACAUAAUAGACCCAGAGUUGACCGUGCGACAGAGGGAAAAGAAGUACGAAGACAACAUGAAAGAGGAGAAGAAGAAAUUGUUAAGGUACAUCUUUGAAGUAGUGAAGAAGCUCAACCCGGAUGGGCCGCAUUGUAUUAUGGCUACCUACCACUUUGGGUAAGUCAAAAACAUCCAUGUAGAGCAAAAGUGGUUAGGAUCAUGCCUUCUCAUCGACAUAACUUAUACUUUGUUUCAAUGGUGUAGAAAUGACCUAGCCGGCGGCCACUGGGUUGCCUUCCUCAUCUAUCCUCAAGAUGGCCGGAUUGUCAUAUUUGACUCGUUACAGGUCCCGGACAAAAAGGGAUACAAAGCCUUCGAAGACUGCUUGAAAAAGUAAGCCACCGAGCUUCUUGAUCAUUUACGGUUAUCGUAUUCAAAUUGACGCUAACACUAAUACACUUCGUACAGCGCUUAUAGUGCAUAUCUCAAGGAUCCGCAAUGCUAGAAUUAGAGAACGGAGAAAUUUAAGAAGAGGCAUAAGCACCACCUCAAAAUCCGACAUGAUUUCCCGGUAAGUAUGUUUCAAAGGUAGUUCAAUCAUGUUUGUGGUACAUAUGUGUUCUAAUGCUUCUAUAUCGAUCAUGCAGUGCGCCAAACAACCCUUGGGAUCAAAGGCAUGUGGCUUGUACACCUGCGAGAACCUAAGGUAAAGCAGGGAGUACACCAACAGCUGGAAGAAGCUCAAGGAAGCACUGAAGGAUCAUGGAGAGACGAUGAAGAAUGAACACCACGCUUUCAAGCAAAUCAAGGCGGACAUUUGUAAGUUCAUCCUAGAGAAAUGUGUGCUCGAAGGCGAACCAUUCUUUGACAAUGAAGGUGAAUUUGCGGUUCGACCUGAGUUCGAGAAGUUUAGGAGAUGGAACACCAUGCUACGGCCGACGGAUUACGUCCAUACAGUAGAAUUGUGAUGUAUAGCGGCUUCCUCGGUUUCCUAUGUGUAUAUGUGAAUGAUGAGAACAACUAAGUGGAUUUAUAUAUUAUGUCAUGUCUUAUGUAUUGAACUUCUAGGCAUAUAUAUAUAUAUAUACGGCAGCGCUAUUCUACACCCUAAAUCUGAGCAGAAAAAUACUGAGCAAUACUGAACAACGUUCAGUAUCAUCCAGGACCGCGAAAUACUGAAUAAUACUAAAAUAUGGGUACUGAAUAAUACUGAAAUUUGUUCAGUAUAACACUUUGGUGUAGAAUAGUAUUCUACACCUAGAGUGUAGAAUAGCACUAUAAACACCCGGCGACCCCGACCAGCCAUAUACGGGCUCCUUGACAAAUACACAAUGAAACACAACGAAGUUGUUAUGGUAUCCAAAGGAUUUUUCUAUGGUAAAGACUUUGUUUUGGCCGGCCGUCAUCUUAUCGCCCCGCACGGACACUUCUUACGUUCGUCGUCGCCCACCUGCUCAUCUUCCACUCGCCCCUGUCUCUCUCUCUCUCUCUCCCCCGCGUGGUCACCUUUCUUCCAUGAGCACGACAUGCUCCAGUGGACUCGCUCCCCAGUGCUGACUCUUUCCAGCUCCCCGUCGCCGCCUCCCUGCACCGCCACCUGGAUAGCGCCGCGCAUUUUAGCCUUUUGUUGCUAAUCUGGAGGUAGCUCAUUCAGAUCUAUAUUUUUGACACCUAUAUGAUGAUUCCUUUCAUGCAAGACAGUUAGUAUAAAUGUGUGCUGCUAUAUCAUGGCAUGUAGGCAAAUUAAGUCAUUUGUUAGGCAACAAUGUGCUCCUAAAUAGGCAAUGUAGCCUUCUAUUGAAAAUCUGGAGGUAGCUCAUCCAAAUCUAUAUUUUUGACACAUAUAUGAUGAUUCCUUGCAUGGACGGUAGGUGCUCACUGCGGCCUGAUCCGACGGUGGUUGCUUGGAUACUGUUACCAGAACAGUGUUCUGAGUCUGGGAGCUGUUCAUGUAUAGGAGUUUUGUGAGAGGGGGAGCAAUCUACAACUUUAAGUGUAUAGGAUAGAUGUGUGCUGCUAUAUCAUGGCAUGCAAGGUAGUUAGUCAAAUUUAUUAGACAAUAAUAGUGUACUGGAUUAGGCAAAAAAACACAAGGUUAUGUAAUUUUUGUUCAGUAACAUGCUAUGGUGUGCCUCAUGUUUAUGCAUUUGCAUAGACAAGGUUUCAGUACUUAUAUAUGCUAUAUGACAUCUAGUUGCUGCAAGCCUAAAUUUUUUUAACAUUUUUUACUUGCAGGUGUGAUGGUCUCUCAAGCAUCAACAUGGGAUAAAAUGAACAAAGAGAGCCAUGUGUGCAAGCGGGAUGCAUGGUGGAUCAGUAUAUAUAUUACCAACACAAGGAGAUUUAGUCCAAACAAGAUGUAUUUCUAUCGUAGUAGUACAUAAUAUCUACCUUUUCGUCUAUGUAUUCUAUAAGGGCAACGUAUCAUAUGCACCAGCUUCGUGUGCAACCUAUGCAACCACCAAUUAAGGUCACAUGAUCUAGAUCUAACGUCUGAGGAUUUUUUCACUUAAACCCCUCCACCUGUGGGUUUAAAUCUAACCCGUGUGUAUCUAGAUGGGAGGGUUUAAAUGAAAAAACCUCAGACGUUGGAUUUAGAUCUUGUGGCCUUAAUUGAUAGUUGCAUAGGUUGCACACGAAGCUGGGUUACACAGGAUACGUUCCCUUCUAUAAGAAGCCUGAGUUGCUAUACAAAACAUCUCAAGGUGCCCAAAAUGACAUAUGUGGAUUGUUAUACGAAAUAUCUCAAGAUGUCCAAAAUGUCAUGUGUGAUGAAUAGUUAUAUUUGAUUUCGGCUUAUUUUGGUGAAUGUAUCAAAUUUGUAAUAUUUGGGAUAUGAGCUAAAUAAUGCCUAGAAAAUCUAGGAGCAGCGAGUUAGUUGGAAGAAGUAGAAAACGACAACAAGAGAAAAAGGAGUGCAAAAGCAAAUAGGAAUGGUUACUGAUGGUUUUAAAAAACCUUCCGUAAACACGGAAUGUACGUACCGGAAGCUUAAUGCACGGCCGGCCGUGCAUUAGCCGUUUCCUAAAAAACGGUUUCUAGAAAAUGGGAACCGGUUGAUUCCAAAAUUCUAGUAAAUGAAAGUCUUACAAAAUACAAGUACAACUCAUGUAUUUAGGUUCUUUUGGUUAAUUGGUUAACCGAGAGUAGGAACCCAAGUUUCUUUGGUUAUUUCGGUUUUGGCUAUAUGACCGAAUAAAGAACUAAACCUUUUGGUUUCGAGUCUUUCAGUUUAAGUUCAGGUUCUUUUUUUUAUGUUUUUUUGGUUUCAGGUAGUUAUGCCCAUCCCUAGUAUUGGAGUAUAUUAAAGUGGAAAUUCACUCAGGGUCGAGGCCUUGAGGUUCUGUUUGACUGCACUCAUAUCUAUCCAAAUCGACAUUGUGUUAAGGCGGAUUAUGGUGAAAAUUAAACUAACUUAGAGCAUUUCCACCACUUUCCUAAUAAUCAAUCCCCAAUAUGUAUAUAUUGGAGUAAGCCAAUAUUAUUAUUCCUAAAUAUUGGAGUGCCUGCAACAUUACCCCAAUACCCAUAUGGAAGAUGGAUCCCAUAAGAAUGCAGGGAGAAAGAUGGAUAAAAAGUAGUAGUUGGGGGAAUCCCCAUGUUAUUGAGUGAGAUACAUCUUCCCCUUUAUUUGAGGAAGGAUGAGAAAAAUAUUAGUGAUAAAAAAGAAAGUAUUAGAGAACUGAGCAAGAAAGAAGCAUAGUUAUCUCUAAUAUGAUAUUUUUAUGGGAUAGGGAGAAGUAUUGGGGAUUUGGGGUACUAUCGGAGACGUUGUUACAUUUUUGCCACAAACUGUUGUCUGAGAGUUGCCUGUAAAGUUUAGAAAAUUUGGAAAAAUGUGUUUGGUUGGAUGCCUAUGCCUGAGAACGCUAACUAAAGUAAAUUGAUUUUGUAUUAUCUAAAUAAGACCCGCAUACAUUAUUAUUGUUUGUAUAUUGAGAUAAAUUAUUUGUAUUAGCCUUUUUCUGAGUUCGUAAGAUUAAAAUAAUUAUUUUUCGUUAUAUUUAAUUAGAGUGAAGCAUGAGGAAUUAAAGUAACUAUAAUUAAUUAUUUUUUAUAAGUUGUCUUGUCAAGUCCGCAUAACCAUGUACUCUAAUUCAAGUAAAAAAACGAUAUAGGAUUUAGAAAUCGUUUAUGACAGUGACAUGGUCUUCAAAAUACAACUUUAAUCUCUUAUUUUUAUAAAAAUAUUUAGAAAAAAUGAUAUAUGUAUAUUUUUAUAAAAGUAUUUUUCAAAAAUAAAUCUAUUCAUAUAAUUUUCACAUUUACAAACUUAACAAUUUAAAAGUUAUUGGUAAUUUAUAUUCUCAAUAUUUGACUCAAACUUUAUCCAAAAGAGCUUCUAAAUCCUAGGAGGGAGUAGUUAAUUAAGAAAAGAGAGAUAAGACAGAACCGGUGCGAUUAGCAUACCAUAGCUAUUUCCAGGCAAGUGAGCUUUUACACCAGGCGCUGGAUAUCGUCCGCAUGGCUGGGCCAUUGUUGCCUGGAGCAGGCAAGGUGCAACUAAACGGUGUACAGGCAAAAACCAGGCAGCUGUUCAUCGAGGUAAUUGGAGUCCUAGUUUAGACUAUCUCCAAUAAUCAUCACUUAAAAUACAAGAUUCAUUUGUCCUUUGGAUAGCGCUAUAGGUAAAAGGUUUCAUACAUAAUUUUAGUCUUCUCCAACAACAAGAUCUAACCGUGUGUUUGGUUGGGGGUUGGGUGGGUUGGGUUGGAUCCAACACAGUUUUUAGGGACGGAGCCAACCCGUCCAGUGUUUGGUUGCACUUCUGAUUUUGGGGACGGAGCCAACCCAUUUUAGUGUUUGGUUGAAGAAUUGGGGACAGAGCGGCUCCGUUCAGUGUUUGGUUGAAGGAAUUUAGUGUUUGGUGGGAGCCAACCCAGCUGGAGCGGCUCCGUCCGCCAGAUUUUGACGGACGAGUCCAACCCGCAUCUGAGAGGAAUAUUCCACCCUGGAGCCAACCCAACCCUCUCAUCCUCCAACCAAACAGCCACAGGAAUGAGUUCGCUCCGACCCGGCUCGCCCCGCUCUCCAACCAAACACACGGUAAAAGACAACACUUUCUGCAAAUGGGUCUCGAGAAGAGAGGAUACCCAAAUUUAAAUUAUGUCUCUCCUAAUACUUAAAAUGAGUUUUCUGUAUGUGUACUUUAUUGAUACUAUAGGUAUUGUGUUGAAGACCCAUUUUAGGUUUGGGUUCCCAAAUAGGUCUUCUAUUUGAGACAAUCUUAGAAAAAAAAAGCCUAUCCCAGGUGUAUAGGAUGGAAAACACGUGAAAGAAUGAAAGCUAUCACCUAUUCUAGAUACAGAUAUGGUUCAGGUUACAGACCACCUUGCUAUUCCUCUAUUUCAAAUUAUAAGUCAUUUAAAGAAUCUUGGAAAGUCAAAACAUCUCUAGGUUUGAUCAAAAUUAUAGAGAGAAAUACUAAGAUUUGUAACAUAAAGUGAGUAUAUUAUGAAAAUAUAAGUAAGAAAGAAUCUAAUGAUACUUAGUUGAUAUCAUAAUAAUUAUUAUUUUAUCAUAUAAAUUUAGUUAAACUUUAGAUAUUUUUAUUCUCCAAAAUUCUUAAAAUAACUUAUAAUUUAGGAUGCAGGAAGUACAUCGGUAUAAACUAUGUUGUAAACUGUUGUUAAAGCUAAUUCUUCGUUGCAUGAAUCUAAGUCAAAACUUGCGAUGAUGCGGGAGCACAUGGCCAUGUACUCCCUCUAGUCCUCCUUUGAGCAGCAGCUGCAUCAGGCUUUCUCAAACACACUACGGUGGUAUGUUGUCUCGGUGUCCACCUCAGCUUCAGACUUCCAUAUCAUAGAAAAUUAGCCUCGCAGAGAGUCAUAUUGUCUUGCAAAGGAAACCAUUACCUCAUCUGACAAAAGUCAGAAGCAACAUCGGGAGCGCGGUGCGGUGGGAGUAAACUUUCUCAGGCUAGAAUAGAGUAGUGUGCUGAGUGUGGAUCUCGAAAGAGACAACACACAUACAACUUACAUUGAGAAUAAUCCUUCGGGUGUACGUGGAGGGUGACCUUUUCUCUAGGGCUAAUGCUGCUAUAUGCCCGCGUUGUUAUUGGCCUCACACGGCUCCGCACAUGCUUCAUCGUGUCAUUGUCGAGCCUGGCGUCAUGGAUUUUGGCCAUGUCUCCCGUGCGGGAGGGGUUCAUGAGAAUAAUGUGUUUUGUUUGGGUUGGACCUUGUUUAGCACUACUACACAAUAGGCCUUUAGUCACUUGUCCAAAAUGAACAAUAAUCUCGACCAAAACAGCGUCAGGGACAAAAACAUAUUUAGUCUCGGUUGGUGAGACCAACCGGGACUAAAAGUCCCCUACCCAACGGCUAUUGUGUCAGACAUCGGCGGAGGAGACUUUUAGUCCCGGUUGGUCUCACCAACCGGGACAAAAGCCUAGCCUUUAGUCCCGGUUGGUGGUACCAACCGGGAUUAAAAGCUGUUGUCCCGGUCCGUCCCACCGGCCGGGACUAGUGUUGGAAUUUAGACCCGGUUUUUAAAAGGACCGGGACUAAAUGUCCCUCCCCAUAUUUGAACUCUUCUUCCCGUGGCCGAGCCCAUCGAUCUUCACUCUUUUGCUCUGUUCUUCAUUUGGAGUUGCUUGUUCUUGCUCUCAUCUCCGGCUAUUGAUUCAUUUCAUUGUUUCUACACCGUCAUCGACUUGUUAAGAGGUCACUAGCUUCAUCUUCUCAACAUUUAGAAGCGGCAUAUGUCAUUUCCUAGUGUUAUGUAUAUUGUUUUUUUAUUUUAUGGUUUUUUUAAGAGGUUAUUAGCUUCAUCGCCAUUUCAAAAGCGACACGUUCUUUUAGAGAAAUAGUGGUAAUAUGUUUUUUUAUUUUAAUUAGUUUAGAAAAAAAAUAAAAACAUAUAAUACUUUAAUUUGCAAUUUUUGACCGAUUUAGUUAGUUAAUUAUAACUAGUAUGCAUACCACAUUUCAUGAUUAUUUAGGAAAAUAGAGAAUUUUUGUGCUUUUUUAAUAUUGCUUGUUUAGAUAAAUUAGAAAUAGAGAAUUUUAGGUUUUUUGUUACUUUAAUUUCUCUAUUAAAAAUUAGAAACUUAUAAUACUUUAAUUUGCACUUUAUGACAUGGUUAAUUAGUUAAUUAUAACUAGUAUGCAUGCCACAUUUCAUGAUUAGUUAGAAAAUAGAGAACUUUUAUGUCUUUUUAAUUUUGUUGGUUUAGAAAAACCAGAAAUAGAGAAUUUUAGGUUAUUUGUUACUUUAAUUUCUUUAUAAAAAAUUAGAAACUUAUAAUAUUUUACAUUGCAAUGCAGACAAUGACACGUCAUUGGAUGUACAAUGCCGAUCGCCGCUCCAAAGAAUUCAUUGAUGCUGUGCAUUAUUUCUUAAGAGUGGCCGAGGAAAACAAGGGGGAUGGAUUCAUACGUUGCCCAUGUGCCUUGUGUCAGAAUUUGAAGGAAUAUUCUAGCUCUAGAAAUAUUCACUCACAUUUGUUGAAGUCGGGUUUUAUACCAAACUAUAUUUGUUGGACCAAGCAUGGAGAAAACGGGAUAAUGAUGGAAGAAGGUGAAGAAGAACAGUUGGAGCCUGACGACAUUAUUGCUCAAUACGGUGACUUCGGUGAUACAGCAAUGGGAGAAGCUGAAGAUGAGGCAGGUGCAGAAGGUGCACCUGUUGAAGAUGAUGCUCUUGGUGAUGUCAUUCGUGAUGCACAAAAAGAUUGCGAAAGUGAAAAAGAGAAGACAAAGUUUGACCACAUGUUAGAAGAUCACAAGAAAUUACUAUACCCAUCUGCCCAGGAUGGGCAAAAAAAACUGGGUACAACACUAGAAUUGUUAAAAUGGAAGGCACAGAAUGGUGUAUCCGAUAAGGCAUUUGGGCAAUUACUGAAGAUCCAAAAAAAAUGCUGCCGAAGCCUAAUGAACUGCCCACUACUACGUACGAAGCAAAACAGAUCGUCUGUCCUUUGGGAUUAGAAAUCAAGAAGAUACAUGCAUGUCCUAACGACUGCAUCCUAUACCGUGGCAAGGACUACGAGAAUUUAGAUGAAUGCCCCAUAUAUAAAGCAUCACGGUAUAAGAUUAGGCGAGAUGACCCUGGCGAUGUUGAGUGGGAAGAACGUCCUAGAAAAAAAAUCCCUGCAAAGGUUAUGUGGUAUGCUCCUAUAAUACCACGUCUGAAACGUCUUUUUAGAAAUAAGGACCAUGCAAAAUUGUUGCGGUGGCACAAAGAAGACCAUAAAGUAGACAACAUGUUGAGACACCCUACUGAUGGGUCCCAGUGGAGAGCAAUAGACAGGGAAUUUCCAAAGUUUGCAAAAGACGCAAGAAACUUAAGGUUCGCUUUAAGUACGGACGGUAUGAAUCCUUUUGGUGAGCAAAGCAGUAGUCAUAGCACUUGGCCUGUUACACUAUGUAUCUACAACCUUCCUCUAUGGUUAUGCAUGAAGCGAAAGUUCAUUAUGAUGCCGGUGCUCAUCCAAGGCCCGAAGCAACCGGGCAAUGACAUUGAUGUCUAUCUAAGGCCAUUAAUUGAAGAACUCCUUCUUUUAUGGAGUGAAACAGGUGUUCGUGUGGCGGAUGAGUACAAACAGGAACACUUCGACCUACGAGCACUGUUGUUUGUGACAAUCAAUGAUUGGCCUGCUCUAAGUAAUCUUUCAGGGCAGACAAACAAGGGAUAUAAUGCAUGCACACGUUGUUUUGAUGACCUUGAUAGUAUAUAUUUGAAAAAAUGCAGAAAGGUCGUGUACCUUGGGUAUCGUCGAUUUCUUUCUAUGAAUCACCCAGUUAGAAAGAAAGGAAAGCAUUUUAAAGGUAAGGCAGACCACCGAUGCAAGCCUCGCAACAGAACUGGAGAUGUAUUUGAGAUGGUUAAGGAUGUGAAAGUAGUUUUUGGUAAGGGACAAGGCAGCCAACCAGUUCCAAAAGAUGCAGCGGGUCAUGCACCCAUGUGGAAGAAGAAGUCAAUAUUUUGGGAGUUACCCUAUUGGCAAGUCCUAGAGGUCCAGAAUGCGAUCGACGUCAUGCACCUAACAAAGAAUCUUUGUGUGAACCUUCUAGGAUUCAUGGGUGUAUAUGGUAAGCCUAAGGAUUCACUUGAAGCACGACAAGACUUGCAACGCACGGAAGAACGAGACAACCUGCAUCCAGAGAAGACAGAUGAUGGACGCCAAUAUUUAAGACCUGCUAGCUACACUCUUAGCAAUGAAGAGAAAGAAAUCAUGUUUGAAUGCUUAAGCAGCAUCAAGGUCCCAUCUGGAUUCUCCUCUAAUAUAAAAGGUAUAAUUAAUGUGCCUGAGAAGAAAUUUUUGAACUUAAAGUCGCAUGACUGCCAUGUGCUUAUGACGCAAUUGCUUCCAGUUGCAUUAAGAGGAAUUCUACCUCCACAUGUACGUCUGGCCACCGUAAAGCUAUGUGCAUUCCUCAAUGCAAUUUCUCAGAAGGCAAUCAAUCCACUGGAACUAGCUGCUCUACAGAAUGAUGUGGUUCAAUGUCUUGUCAGCUUUGAGUUAGUGUUCCCUCCAUCCUUCUUUGAUAUCAUGACACACCUCCUAGUUCAUCUGGUCAAGGAGAUCAAUAUUCUAGGUCCUGUGUUCCUACAUAAUAUGUUUCCCUUUGAGAGGUUUAUGGGAGUUCUGAAGAAAUAUGUUCACCAACGUGCUCGGCCAGAAGGAAGCAUCACCGAGGGCUAUGGGACAGAGGAGGUCAUUGAGUUCUGUGUUGAAUUCAUUCCUGAACUUGACCCAAUUGGUGUUCCUGAAUCGCGCCACGAGGGGAGACUGAGUGGAAAGGGAACACUAGGAAAGAAAACAUACAUCGGUACGGGGGACGAUUCUUUCAAUAAAGCACCCUACACAGUUCUUCAAAACUCAUCCGUGGUGGAGCCGUAUGUCACGAAACACAAGGACUUCCUACGAUCGCAAUUCCCAGAGNNNNNNNNNNNNNNNNNNNNNNNNNNNNNNNNNNNNNNNNNNNNNNNNNNNNNNNNNNNNNNNNNNNNNNNNNNNNNNNNNNNNNNNNNNNNNNNNNNNNNNNNNNNNNNNNNNNNNNNNNNNNNNNNNNNNNNNNNNNNNNNNNNNNNNNNNNNNNNNNNNNNNNNNNNNNNNNNNNNNNNNNNNNNNNNNNNNNNNNNNNNNNNNNNNNNNNNNNNNNNNNNNNNNNNNNNNNNNNNNNNNNNNNNNNNNNNNNNNNNNNNNNNNNNNNNNNNNNNNNNNNNNNNNNNNNNNNNNNNNNNNNNNNNNNNNNNNNNNNNNNNNNNNNNNNNNNNNNNNNNNNNNNNNNNNNNNNNNNNNNNNNNNNNNNNNNNNNNNNNNNNNNNNNNNNNNNNNNNNNNNNNNNNNNNNNNNNNNNCAGAUAUUUCAAAAGAUUAUGAAAGGGAUGACCGAAUCACGCUUUUCAAUGUGACCAAAGAUCCGAGCAUACUGAUAAAUGCUGAGGACACUCCAUGGUUACGUCAAGAUCAUGACCAAGGAACAUACGUCAAAAAGAAGAUCACUAUUGUGCCCGCCUAAUAAAUAGAUUGCAAUAUAGUAUGUGUAUGUGACAUUUGUAACUUAAGAUGUUUAUAUUAGUUUUUCUUAUUUUAUAUCAUUUCAAAUAAUGAAAUGACAUUUAAGUUUGCUAUAUGAAACUACAUGUGUCAAUUGUGGAUUUUGAACUACACCUUCGCAACACUUUGUCAAAUGCAAAAAAUGGUCUAUAUAUUAAAUGUAGAUUUUGAUGAGUGGAACAAUAUUGGUAUUCAUGACUUUUCCGUUCGAGACCAUCUAGGGUUCCGAAAACCAAUGCGUGGCUAUGAAUUCUAUCAAAAUUCAAAAUUGAGUGGUUCAAACUUUUCCAAAAGAAAAGUUGACCAUUAGACAAAAUGUAGAACUUGAUGAGUGCAACAAACUUUGUAUUCAUUACUUUUCCAUUUGGGACCAUAUAGGGUUCGGUCAAAGUGUGUGUUUCUAAAAACCAAUGCUUUGACUUUGGUCAAACUUGGUCAAAUGACCCAUUUGAUGACUUGAAAUGAAAAAAAUUUGAAUACAAAGUUGUUAGAGAUCAUCAAGAUCUACAUUUGAUAUAUUGUCUAUUUUUCCAUUUGGAUAAAUUUGACGGUAUUGGUCAAACUUGGUCAAAUGACAAACUAAAUUACUUAAAAUGAAACAAUUUUGAAUACCAAGUUGUUAGAUAUCAUCAAGAUCUAAACUUUUUAUAUAGAUAAUAGAUCUAAACUUUUUAUAUAGAUAAUUUUUCCAUUUGAGAAAGUUUAAGUUCACAAUACCCACCAAUUCUUGAAUCUCACACAAACUAUAUGAAACUACAUGUGUCAAUUGUGGAUUUUGAACUACACCUUCGCAACACUUUGUCAAAUGCAAAAAUAGUCUAUAUAUUAAAUGUAGAUUUUGAUGAGUGGAACAAUAUUGGUAUUAAUGACUUUUCCAUUCGAGACCAUCUAGGGUUCCGAAAACCAAUGCGUGGCUAUGAAUUCUAUCUAAAUUCAAAAUUGAGUGGUUCAAACUUUUCCAAAAGAAAAGUUGACCAUUAGACAAAAUAUAGAACUUGAUGAGUGCAACAAACUUUGUAUUCAUUACUUUUCCAUUUGGGACCAUAUAGGGUUCGGUCAAAGUGUGUGUUUCUAAAAACCAAUGCUUUGACUUUGGUCAAACUUGGUCAAAUGACCCAUUUGAUGACUUGAAAUGAAAAAAAUUUGAAUACAAAGUUGUUAGAGAUAAUCUGAUGUAAUGGUGAAUAUUGUUGUAAGCAUAAAUAAAUAAGAAAUAGAGAAAAAUUUUAAAAAAAUAAUUCGAUGUAAUGGUGAAUAUCACGUAUAUCAUGAUUUUGGAGAUAAAUGAUGAUAAAUAAACAAAAUUUACAUUUAAAUAUUGCACAAACAAAUUUUUCUAUCAAAAACAUCUGCUUUAAGAUAUUAAAAUUAAAUAAUACAUUUUUGCAUUAACAAAAUACUAAUUAUUUUUCAUAUUUAAGUUUGUUAAUUGUCGAGGGUAUCAGUAAGGGGUAUCCUCACUAAUGCACAUAACAAGAUUACCCGUAUGCAGGUCGAGGCCCUCAACUCGACCCUAAACCCUAAACCCUAAACCCCUACCUGGCGCGCCAACUGUCGGUGUUUUCCCACGGGGGUCACACCAACGAGUAAAUUUGUAUGCGUGCUCCCUUUCCCAAAUGGUGAUGCAAGAAUACACAAAGAUUUAUCCUGGUUCGGGCAAGAGAAGGCCCUACGUCCAGCGGGGGAGGGAAGUUUGUAUUAUCUUGCACCUAAGUGCUUGUACAGGGGUGGAUACAAGCGUGGUAUGGAAUGGAGUAUGGGAGUUCUACUGAGUAUGGUGUAGUGUUGCGCGUGUGUUAUCUAUUCCCGGGUCCUUCCUUUUAUAGCACCAAGGAGAGACCGAGGGUACAUGCGUAGGUAUCAGAGUAGGGGUCGAUAGAAGCAUGGCGCGCUGACCUACUCGAGGCCUCCGUACCGGCGUAGUCUCGAGCCGUCCCGUCUCGGUAGCUUGAUGAUGAUUACGCGUGCUCCUGUAUCCUGCUCUGCGCGCCGUCUUGGGCUGGUUCACCGAUCGCACGCUUGUACGGUAUGGCGGCAGAUCUGGCGGAGUGGUUGCGGUGUUGUCAGUCGACGCCCAAUUCGUCUCCAAGAAGGAACCAUGUCUGGUCGAGGGUCGGACGCCGUGCAAUCCCCUGAUAUCCGGAGCGCUGACCUUGGUUGUCUCGAGGAGGUCCUGAUUAGACGUUCCAUUCCUGUUUCCCACGUCCUGACACGCCCUGGGUUGUUUGGUGGGGAAGGCUGCAAAAAGUACGACGGGACAGGUGCCUGUUCCCUAUCACGCUUCCCGUGAUCAGCGCGUUAGGUGGGAAAGCGACAGGCGCAUUAAAUGCCCUGGCUCUCGUGCGUGCGUCAGGCGACGGGCGGCGUCCUUGCGCUCGACGCCUCCUGGUUCGCGCGAGCCCGUUUCCGUAUUCGACGGUAGCUGGUGCUCGACCCCUGAUCGAUUCGCUCGAUGCCAUUUCCGUCUUUGAGGCUGCGGUCGUCGACGACCGCGCAUAUGUAUGACCAGAGCGUCGAGUUGAGGGCCUCGACCUGCAUACGGGUAAUCUUGUUAUGUGCAUUAGUGAGGAUACCCCUUACUGAUACCCUCGACAUUAAUAUAAGUGAUGAAAAGAUUUUAUGUUUCCAAAUUUAUUAUGUAACCAAUUAGACAAAAAGAAAUGGAACUAUUAUUUUUUAACAAAUUAAUACCUAUUAUUCUAUUUACUAUGCAAUGAAAAACAUUAAUCUAAUUAUUGUAUGCAUAAAUAAAUAAGAAACUGAAAAAUACAUUUAGUCCCGGUUUCUGGCUAGAACUGGGACCAAAGGUUGUAUUUAGUCCCGGUUCUAGCUAGGAACCGGGACUAAAGGGUGGACCUUUAGUCCCGGUGCGUAGCACCAACCGGGACUAAAGACCCUUUAGUCCCGGUUGGUGUUAGUGUUACGCACCGGGACUAAAGGUCUCCGCGUGUAUAUAAGAAAACUGUCGUCUUCAUCCUCCAGAUCGACGUUGCCCUAGCCUUCUUCACCGCUGCCGCUCCCCGCGCUGCCUCCACAUCCUGCCCGAGCCACCGCUGCCUCCUUCUUCUCCGGCGUAGAGACUCUCCCGGACGAGCGCCGCCGCCGCUUCCUCGCCUCCGGACAUCGUCGCGCCGCCUCCUCGUCAUCCCCGAGCCGUACGUCGUCGUCGCGCCCCUGUGCGGCCUUCGAGCUUCUCCGGCGCCGCCUCCUCGCCCUCAUCGCCCCCGCGGCCACCUCCUCGCCCUCGUCAGAGCGCCUCCGACCGUCGCUCUCCUCCCCGGCCAGAGAACGCUCGCGCCGCCGUCGUCGAGGAUGAGCACGUUUAGUGAAUUUUAUUUGAAUGAAUGAGGCGGCGCCGGAGAAGAAUCCGUUCCCAAACGAUUUUAGUGAAUUUUAUGAAUGAGAUGAUUUUAGUGAAUUGUAUGAAUGAGAUGAUUUUAGCGAAUUGUAUGAAUGAGAUGAUUUUAGUGAAUUUUAUUUUUGAAUGAAAAGAAUCGGUUCCCAAACGCAUGAUAAAAAUCAUUUUAGUGAAUUUUAUUUGAAUCAAAACUAUAAUUUAAACUAUGAAUCUGUUGUGGCCCAAAUGCAUGAUAAAAAUCAUUUUAGUGAAUUUUAUUUGAAUCAAAACUAUGAAUCGGUUCCCAAACGCAUGCCCACGAGAAAUACGUACCUCUCGCCAAAAUAUACUCCUACAUCUAUACUUGUUGCACUCCGAUCGACGAAACACAUGCGCUCACGAAAUGUACACUUUUUAAAAAUCAAACAAUUCAAAAUAUUUAUGACAUUUCUAUAAAAGAUAUAAAUAUUAUUAGAUUAAUUAUUUAUAUAUUUUUAUACUAUAAAUUUACUUGAGACAUAACCUUGUUGUGUAUAGUUGAACUUGAAUAUAGAAAGCACAAGUUACUUUAAUUUAAAUAAAAAUUGUAAUUUAUCCUGUGUUGUAAUUAGUUAGUAGGGAUAGAUAUUGAGAUGAGAUGUAUAAUUUCUAUUUUAUAAAAUAUUUUUUGUAUUAUAUAAUUUAUAUGUUAUAAUUUAUCCAGUGUUGUAAUUAGUUAGUAGGGAUAGAUAUUGAGAUGAGAUGUAUAAUUUCUAUUUUAUAAUUUAUCUUUUGUAUUAUAUAAUUUAUAUGAUAUAAUUUAUUCUGUGUUGUAAUUAGUUAGUAGGGAUAGAUAUUGAGAUGAGAUGUAUAAUUUCUAUUUUAUAAUUUAUAUUUUGUAUUAUAUAAUUUAUAUGAUAUAAUUUAUCAUGUGUUGUAAUUAGUUAGUAGGGAUAGAUAUUGAGAUGAGAUGUAUAAUUUCUAUUUUAUAAUUUAUCUUUUGUAUUAUAUAAUUUAUAUGAUAUAAUUUAUCCUGUGUUGUAAUUAGUUAGUAGGGAUAGAUAUUGAGAUGAGAUGUAUAAUUUCUAUUUUAUAAUUUAUCUUUUGUAUUAUAUAGUUUAUAUGAUAUAAUUUAUCCUAUGUUGUAAUUAGUUAGUAGGGAUAGAUAUUGAGAUGAGAUGUAUAAUUUCUAUUUUAUAAUUUAUCUUUUGUAUUAUAUAAUUUAUAUGAUAUAAUUUAUCAUGUGUUGUAAUUAGUUAGUGGAGAUAGAUAUUGAGAUGAGAUGUAUAAUUUCUAUUUUGUAUUAUAUAAUUUAUAUGAUAUAAUUUAUCAUGUGUUGUAAUUAGUUAGUAGGGAUGGAUAUUGAGAUGAGAUGUAUAAUUUCUAUUUUAUAAUUUAUCUUUUGUAUUAUAUAAUUUAUAUGAUAUAAUUUAUCAUGUGUUGUAAUUAGUUAGUAGGGAUAGAUAUUGAGAUGAGAUGUAUAAUUUCUAUUUUAUAAUUUAUCUUAGUUGUUGUAUCGAAUAUUGUCUAAGUUUAGCCUAUCUAAAUAAUUUUUGUUGAUCGCGUCAAAAACUUUUAACACUUGAUUAAAUUUGCAGAAAUGGCCAAUCCGAAUGACAACAUGGAUGAUGCAAUGAUGGACCUACUCAACAGCGGUGCCAAUCCAGAUCCCCAAGGCGAAGAUGAUGGGAGUCAGUACUUUGCUGAUUAUGAAGAAUUUGUGGGAGACAAUCCUGAUCAGGUCUAUCUACAAUCUAGUAUAUAUGUAUAUAUAUGAAAUUAAAAUAAAUGACAUUUAUACUAAUAUAUUUAUACUUGUUUGUGUAGCCCUCUAAAUCGGCGACAACUUAUGAGAGAGUAGAAAAGUGCGCGGUCCGAAGAAGCCGUUGGAGGGUCGGUACAUUCUGUCGGAAUUCGAUGAGGGUACAGGACAAGUACUUGGAGCUAAUUCUAAAAAAUUUGUUGCGCACUGUGGCUACCUUGUAAGGGACAGGCUCCCGGUCAGUGCUCGUGAAUGGAGGCAACGGAAAGAUAACCCUAAUAUUAGUUUUGUCUCAGAUCGUGACAAGGAAUUGAUUUGGCAAGAUAUCCUUCAACAUUUCACGCUCGAUACACAGGAUGAAGCUUUGAAGGAGAAGGUUAAAAUCUGGGCUAUGCAGAAGAUGGCCAAACAAUUUCAGGCUUGGAGGAAGACAUUAUACAAGACUUUUGUUGCACAAGGCCGGACACCAGAUUUCACCAACAAGGCCUACGUCAAGUUGAGGCCUUUUUGGGAUGAGUUCGUAGAGUUUAAGAACUCAGAAGAGGGUCAGGCACGGAUGAUCAAGAAUCAAGAAAAUGCUAAACAAAAGCAAUACCACCAUCACUUGGGUUCAGGUGGCUACAGAACUGCUAUUCCUAAGUGGCAAAAGCUGGAACAGGAGAUUCUUGGGAGAGGGAUCGAACCAGAAUCAAUGCACUGGCCCGAGCGCGCCAAGUAUUGGUUCUUUGGUCAUGGGGGAACCAUAGACCUAGAGACCGGAAAGAUAGUGUACGGCGAAAAGCUCGAGAGAGUAGGACAGAGAAUGGCCUAUGCUAGAGGAUUAGUUGAAAGCGGCACCUGGCAGCCAAAUAGAGAAAAGGAUGAGCUGACAUACGCCCUGGAGACUGCUGAACACGGUGGGCGAACCAGAGGCUAUGGGGAGAUAUCAUGGGAGCAUGGCUUCCCUAAAGAUAGACCGACUUAUAGAAGCCGCCAACGAAAGAAGAAAGAGGAAGCAGAGCGGUUGCAUAGGUUGGAGGCAAUGGUGAUUGAGUCACGCGAAGCGGAUCGUAAAGCGAUAGCGCAAGAGAAAGCGCUUGAAGAGAGAAUGAACGAGGAGAUCAAAACACAAGUGCAGAUUACAGUAAGUUCUAUACAAGGGCAAACUGCAUCAGAGCCUAGAGUCAACAUUAGCCCCCCCCCCCCGGUCAGUUGAAAAGUAGUUGCGCUUCCACAGAGAUGCCAACUAUUCAAGACGACGUGGGGCUGCACUUUCCGGGGGAUGACAUCACUGAACCUCUGACAACAUGUGAGCUGCACAUUCCACAGGGGACUGCCACAGUCAUGGUUGCUGUCGCUGUUGUAACUCCUGUCGACCCUACGAGGACACCAAGAAUCCAUGGGGCGAUAGUUCCACCUGGAUAUGCUAGUGUCUCGGUGGAUAGAGUUGUCAAAGGCUUCAGUAAUGUGCAGCUUGAGAUAGAAGGAGGUGAUGGAGAGAAGACUCUAGGAGAAGCAGAGAAGACUUUUAUUUGUUGGCGCAAGCGCUACAUCAUUAUUCCUGGGGCAUCACCUAGUAGUCUACCACCACCUCCUUGUCAUGAAUCUAAUCCUAGGUGCGGAUGAAAAUUGACAAUACAUUUGUUCACUAAAUUUAUUUUGCAUUCUCUUAGUUAGCGGUUUACUCAUAUACCUUUUGUUUUCACAGGUGGUCACCGACAUGUCAUAGUGCUGCGGGUGAUGACGAGGGAGUGCAAGACACGGCUGCAUCGCCUCGAUCUCCAACGCCACCACCUAGGGCUCUAACACCGCCACCUCGGGCUCCAACACCGCCACCUCAGGCACCAACACCGCCACCUAGGGCUCCAACGCCACCUAGGGCUCCAACACCGCCUCCUCGGGCUCCAACACCGCCACCGGCCGCCCCAUCGCCUCCACACGUGGCUCCAGCACGAAAGAAGAGGCCGGCCACACAAUCAAAUGUGUCGGCCGCCCCGCCGCAAAAAAGAAAGCCUCCGAAAAGAAACAAGCUAUCAUUCCUAAGAAGCUGUCCAAUGAGAAGACUGAUGCAGAACUAAAUGCUUCAGUAAAAUCAGACGUGGAUAGUUUCUUCAAGAAACUUAAGACUGAAAGAGAAGCCAAGCGAAACCUUGAGAAGCCGUACCUCUUACUACGGCCAUAAGAUCUACGACAAAGGGUUGAGGUUGAACAAAAAAAGAGACAUGAAGCUCAGAAAGAAUCAUCAUCUUUAUCGGACUAUGAUCGCACUUUAAGAAAAUCCCUAGAAGAAGAGAAUAAGAAAGAGAAAAGAGCACGCAAGGGUGUAGCACAGCUCGGGGAACAAUCAAAGCAAUCAGUGCCCCCGCUAGUCAUUGGAAAUGAAUAUGGUUCAAACAUUGACGUGCUAGACCAGCAGAUACCGGCAGAUUUAAAAUUUGAAGAGCUUGAAAAUUUUUUGCGGAAACUGGUCUUAGCUUAGCCCAAAUGAUAGCAGGGGCAUCAAUUGAAAGUGCUCCACAAAUUGAUCAUUGGCAGAAGGAAUAUACAUAUGACAAGAGUUUAUACAACCCUGCGGCCCUCAACAAGCUUGGAACGCAAAUGUACAUGCUAAACAAAUGGUACAUGGAAGCGUGUGUCAGAAAAGCAGAUGACUAUAUUUGUGUCCGAAUUAGAAACUAUCAUUACUUCCAUGGUGAUGAUAUUAUUUAUGUUCAAUUGAAUGAGCUACACCAACUAUGCCACAUGGACGCUCGACAAAUCUCUAAUGAGUUGCUUCUGUCUGUAAAUGAUUCUUCCUUUCAAUAAUGUCUCUGUAACUUAUCAUGUAUAUAUAUAACUAAUUACAGAAACCCGUUAUACAUAUGCAGAAACAUGAUGAGGGACCUUAGAGUUAGAAAUGACAAGGAGAUUGGAUUUGUGGAUCCAAAUGUUGUAUUCAAAGACCACAAGACCCCGUAUGUUUUAUGGAGAACUCAAACGGAGAGAAAUCUACGGAGGUUCUUGAUCAACCAAAAAGAUAAAAGAUAUAUACUCUUUCCCUACAACUUUAAGUAAGUGUCGUUAUCGUGUGUACAUUCUAUUUAACUAAUUAAUCAGAUCAAUAUGAAGAUAUAUACUAAUUUUGCCUACAUAUGCACACAAAUGCAGCUUUCAUUGGAUACUAGUUGUCAUUGAUCUCUGGCAAUGUCAAUUGGUAAUCUAUGACUCAUUGAGAAAACUACAUGAUGAUUACUGUUGAUAUUUGGGAACGCAAUAAGGAAUUGAUCCGCAAGCGCACGGAUAUCGGUGAGCACUUCACCCGGGAAAUUAUCCAGAGUAUCGUAUUUAUUUUUUUUACCACUAGGAGAAAGAGUGCAUCUGACUAACCGGUCUAUUACUACUAACCUUUAGGCACAAAGAAUGUCUUUCGAUGUGAGUGAUAAAUAGAUAAGACUGCAACCGUAGUCUCCUUCUAACCUUGGUAAGGAUGAUCUACUGUUCUAAUGGGGAGGCUAACGUAAUCUAGACACCACAAAGGAUGUUCAACCCGCACCUAUAAACCCUAUCCUUCCUGCUAACGAGAUGUGAUCUACAAAGGUAGCUCGGAAUUGUCACGUUCCUCACUACUACCACGGUCCAGCUAGUCAGGGAAUAUCUAUGAGUACCCCAGCCUAAACACCACGUUUACGCCAGCAAUGAUUACUCUAAACUCUACGCGAAGAGAUUAAAGUUAACUCAUAUACCAUAAGAACAAUAAAACAAGAACUUACUAGAAUUUAGAAGUCGAAUUACUGAAGAAUCCUAGGAGCAAGAUUCGGGUUAGGAGAACUUGAUCCCGCAGGUACAAGCUUGGAGUAGACACCGACAGGCCGGGCUUCCUCCAAUCUAUACCUCCACUCUAUCUCUCUCAAUCUAGUAGAAACUAGAAGAUCUAUUUCUACCUUACAUUGAUUGCUAAGCCUAAAAAGAAAUAUUAAUUAGAGAAGAGGUUUUCCUUCGAGGGCACCCCUCAGUCUCUAUGAUAAUUUCUUCAUGUCUUCUCCAGGGGCCAGGGGGGUCUCCUUAUAUAGUCCUCCUCUUCUAUGCGUUUUUGGGUCGAUAGGCGAGGUGGUACUAUGUUUUUCUUGAUCCAAUAGGUCGGUGGAAUAUUCCGAGCGAAGAGAGUCCUGAUUGGCAUCCAGAGGGGGGCGGGCGCCCAGGUCACCAGGGCGGGCGCCCUGGGCCUGGCCCCUUUCGGCCUCCGUCUUCUUCCCGUGGCUUCUGGAGUCUUCUAGAUGGUGGAAAAUCGUGCGGUGCGUUGAUAUCUCUAUGUAAUCCCGACAUGUGGGCCUUUCUUCCUUAUUUCCUGAUAACCCCCUGCAGAAAUAGAUAAACAACAAAACUCGUGGAAUUCUGUCAGAUCAAACCCUAAUUCUAGGUGUUAGUUGCAUAUUGGUCCUUUCUCUUGUUUAUUUGAUAAUUAAAAUUGAUACUUAAGAACCGUCAACAAUUACCAAGAAAUGAUAGAUAUUAUCCAAGGGUAACUCCGAUCUCUAUAUAUUAAAUUCUGCUCUUUUAACUUGGUAAUGGAUAAUUAAUAAUGAUCGUUUUAUUGCUAGGGUUUGGGCUGGGUUCGUGCAGAAACACCGUCCAGAGUUGAAUGCAGCACUUUCAAAGCCAAUCUUACUUCAGUAGGUUCUACGACAGACACUGGGCAACAAUUUGUGUGGCUACUAUGUGUGCGAGUUUAUGACGGUGUAUGCCAAAAGAACUAAUCUUGAGCACCUAAAAGUAUGUAACAUGUAUAUAUAAUAAGUUUAUUUCAUUUAUUUGUUGCUAUUUAAUAAAUCCUAUUCAUACCUCUAACUUUUUUCUUUAAUGUCUAUUAAAGGAGAUGUGGCUGAAGGAGCAGGUGUUGGAUGCGGUGCACCUAAAAGGAAUUCAGGAGACAAUCACAGGAUUUCUUAACGACCAAGUCCUGGAUUCCGGCGGCGAGUGCUACUUCAACCCUCAGGAGCAGAUGAAACCAAAUAACGAUGAUCAUUUGUACGAUGCUUGAGUGGUGGAGAUAAAUUGUGUUGUAAAUACUUUGUCCGUGAAGCAUAUGUGUAAAUAUUUUAUUAUGGACCUAUAGAUACAUAUUAUUUUUAUAUAUAUAGUGUUUUAUAGUAUAUUUAUAUGUAAUCAUUUAAAUUAUAUAAAUUAUAGGUGCGCGUUCCAUAAACUACCAGCAAACAAUACGCAUUCGAAAAUAACAAUAACAUAAUUGUAAACCCUAAAUGGAAAACCAAAUGAAAAGAAAAAGAAAAAAGAAAAAAGACUUUAGUCCCGGUUGGUAGCAACAACCGGGACUAAAAGUGGAGGCCAGGUGGCACACCCUGGCGCACCUUUUAGUCCCGGUUGCUGUUACCAACCGGGACUAAAGGUGGACCUUUAGUCCCGGUCUACGGAAUCGGGACUAAAGGUGGGACAUUUAGUCUCGAAACCUUAGCUCCGGUUUCCGUAGCCGGGACUAAAGGCGCUUACGGCCCGGGGCUAAAGCCCUUCCCUGUACUAGUGUAGUUGGGGAGUGAAAAGUUUUUAAGUGUCAUAUUGGAUGUUUUAUAAGAUGUUGGAAGAAGUAUUUAGAUACUAAAAAAACUAAUUACAUAGCUCACUUGAAAACUGCGAGACGAAUUUAUUAAAUCUAAUUAAUUCAUCAUUAGCACAUAUAAGUUAUUGUAGGACUAAUUAGGCUUAAAAGAUCCGUCUCGCGAUUUACAAUCAAAUUGUUCAAUUAGUUUUUGUUUUUGUAUACAUUUAAUGCUUCAUGCAUGUGUCCCAAGAUUCGAUGUGAUGGAUAAAAUUUUUUUGAAUGGAAACUAAGGCCUUGUUUAGAUCUAUUUUUUUACAUUGUAGCACUUUCGUUUUUAUUUGACAAGCAUUAUUCAAUCAUGGAGUAAUUAGGCUUAGAAGAUUCGUCUCGCGAUUUACAAGCAAAUUAUACAAAUUAAUUUUUGUUUUCAUCUAUAUUUCAUGCUUCAUGUAUGUGCCAUAAAAUUUGAUGUGAAUGAGAAUUUUAAAAAAUUUUUAGUCUUUAGAGUGAACUAAACAAGGGCUAAACAAGCCUUGGUUGGUUGGAAGCGAAGCUAGAAAUGGACGAUGCCAGGUGGUUGGUGUGGGUGGCGUUGGGGGCACACUGGUGGUCUCGUGAGCGUCCUCGCGAGACUUGCGAAGGUGAGCAUCUGCCAAAAUCUGCUUCAUGCCUUAUGUUAGGUGCAGGGUUAUUUUGGUCUUUUCUUGCUGCCUGGGUAAAAAUAAGAAUAUAUUAAAAUAAGGUCUUGUUUCCUCUCGGGAUUCGGCGCUUUUAAGAAGAUUAAGUGUAUAUUUUCUAUUGCGCCGGUGGGAAAUUUGGAGAAAUCGCGGGAUCGGACGCAGUGCGUGGAGGCACCGAACGCUGGCCUGAGCGUCCGGUGUGCUGUCAGUGCUUGGCCCUAUUAGUGUUGAGCACCGGACGCACUGCAGCAGACGCAGAGUGUUUUCUGUUCAUGCGUCCGGUGUGGCCUGACUUAAGCAAAGGUUGUUUGUCAGAGAGCACCGGACGCUCUGAGUGCGUCCGGUGGUGUGCGUCUGGUGUGAGGGAGUUUUGUAACCCUCUCUGCGCACGAGUCCGGUGAGCACCGGAGCGUCCGGUGCUCAGAGUCCGGUGAGAUCUGAGUUUUUACAAACUCUCUACGCACGAGUCUGGUGCUCACUUGGUCGCGUCCGGUAGUCCACAGGUGACCGUUAGAGUCUGACGCGCGAGAUUCAAAGGAGGACACGUGGCCAAUCUCAGAGCACCGGACGCAGGGGGUCGAGCGUCCGAUGAUCACUUGGUAGCGUCCGGUGCCCCCGAUUUCAGCCCAGUGAAAAAGUCAACGACUCUAUUUGUUGAGGGGGCUUAUAAAUAGAAGGUGGCCGGCUUUGGGAGGCUAACUCUUGCACAUUUGAAUACUUAAGGCAUACUUUGAGCUAAAGAACACUCCCUCCACUCAUCUCCUUUCUUAAUUGCUAAUCUUUGUGAGAUUGAGUGAGAUUCAAGUACUUUGCUUUGAGAGUUGCAUCUAGUGGCACUUGAUUCUUGACUUUGUUGCGGAUUUCUUGUUACUCUCGGGUGUUUUCCGAUGCCCUAGAUGGCUUGGAGCAGCGGUGGUGUUGAGCUCGUGAUUGGAGAUUGUUUCGAGCCUCACCAAGUGUUCUGUGAGGGGUUCUUGAGCCUUCCCCGCGGGAGAUCGCAAUUGGCUACUCUAAUAGAUUGCUAGUGGCUUGUAAGAUCCUCAUCUUGUGAGUGGAUGUGCGGCACCCACUGAGGGUUUGGCUUUGGAUUGCCAAUUAGCUCGUGAUCCAUCAAGUGGGUGUAUCGCCACAACGAGGACUAGCUUGCCGGGAAGCAAGUGAACCUCGGUAAAAAAUCUUGUGUCAUCUCUUGCCGAGGAUUCUCUUGUGAUUGUGAGUGAUUGGUUGGAUAUAUCUCUACUCUACAACGUUGGUUUAACAAUCACUCUCAACUCCUUUACUUACUUGUAUACCUUGCUGCUAGUUGUUUAGUUUAGUCUUCUUGUUUAGGAGUGAAAUUAGCUCUCUCGUGUUGUUGUGUUUUAGUGUUUAGCCUUGUACUAGUUUGUAUAGGUGGCUUGCAUAGCUUAGUUGAGCUAGUGCUAGAAUUGCUUCGCCAUUUGUUUAACUAACUCACUUGCUUAGUGAAGUUUGUAGAAUUAUUCAUCUCCCUCUAGCUAUUUGGACCUUUCACAUAUAGACUUUACUUGGCAUAGCUCAACUUCACUACUGAAGUUAUUUCUUGUAGAAAAGAGUUUUAUGAACAACUGUUUAAAUAAAGUCGAGCUGUUUUGAAAAAGCUACUCCCUCCAUCCCAAAUUGUAAGUCAUUCCAAGAAUCUUGGAGAGUCAAACUUUUCUAAAUUUGAUCAAAUUUAUAUUAUAAAAUAAUAAUUAUUAUGAUACUAAUUAAGUAUCAUUAGAUUCUUUCUUAAUUAUAUGUUCAUAGUAUAUUCACUUUACGUUACAAAUCUUAAUAUUUUUCUCUAUAAUUUUGGUCAAACAUUAAAAUGCUUUGACUCUCCAAGAUUCUUGGAAUGACUUACAAUUUGGGAUGGAGGGAGUAUUUGGCAAACAGCUUCGCUAGCAAUUUCAUGCAUAGAUAAAAGAAAAAAAAUGAGAGAUAGCUAGAAUAAGCUAUUUUUCGAGCGUUAUCUAAACUCAUGUCUUUGUAAGUAAAAAACAUUACUGCACCUAUAAAGCUGUUUUGAAAAAUAGUAUUCGGAUAAAUUACUAUAAUCCAAAAAUCACCGUAUUGCUGCAUUCUAAAUUUGCAAUAUUAAUUUAUUUUAAAAACAAAAUCACAUUUUAGUUGCUUAUUAUAAGAUUUAUUACAAAAUCCCUGGUACUGAUUUCAGUUCGGGUUUCCGUGUCCAUUUCCCUUCUCUCACAGUCAACAGGACCCCGAACCCUAAAACCUCCAAACCCCAGCAAUGGCGGAUUGCCCCUCGUUCCGCCGCCACCCGCUCGCCUCCUCCAUCGACCUCGUCCGCUGGCUCCCAUCCUCCUCCACCUCCCCUUCCGGUCGCCUCCUCGCCGCUGCCGCCCACGACCCCACCUCCGCCCCCGCCGCCUCCAGCAUCCACCUUCUCCCCCUCUCCGACCCCGGCUCCCCGCUCGCCUCCCUCCCGCUCCCGUCCCGCGCCACGGCACUCCGCUGCUCCACUGCUGCGCUCGCCGCUGCCACCUCCUCGGGUUCGCUCCACUUCCUCCCCUCCUCGUUUGACUCGGACGCCGCAGUGUCCGUCCCCGGCGGCGCGGGCUUCCAUGUGGGCCCUGUCCGGGGCCUCGACUGCGGCGGGGAGGAGUGGGUCACAGCGGGGGAGGACGGAAGAGUGCAUGUGGUCGGCGGCGCAGCGGACGGGAGAGUGGUGGCGAGGAGGGUGUGGGACGGGAAAGGAAUGUCAGGGUAUGAAGCCGCCAGGUGGGCGUCGCCGGUGGAGUUCGCCACGGGGGGCGCCGGAUGUGGCGUGCAAUGGUGGGAUCGGAGGAAAGGGGACGCCGUCGUGGCGCAGUGUAACGGCAUCUGGUGAGUGUAGGAAAGCCUGGAUCUAUAGGGUUGUCUUUCUGGUUUAUGUUCCUGUUAACGAUGGAUUUCUGGUAGUUGUAAUAGAUUAUUUUUGUGGUUUUCUUGUGGAUUGGUACGUUAUCUCAGCACCUUUGAAAAUAUUGGCACAUCCACACAUUACUUUGAUGAACAUGUUUCACGAACAUUUUAGUUAUGUCAGCACCUUUCAAAAUAUUGCACAUCCACACAUUAGUUUGAUUAACAUGUUUCACAAACACUUUAGUUAUGUCUGUACCUUUCAAAAUAUUUUCACAUCCAUAUCUUCCAUUAUGGAAGCGGGAAGCCUAACUCAAUGUUCACCAUUUGUAAUAAAUGUUCCUAGCCAUGCAUAAGCUCUGGUGCAGAGGUCAGAUUAUUGUGCAUCUCUAUCAUUUUUUUUAUGUUUUGGCUGUGCACUACCAAAGAUGGUUUCAGUAGGUUUGGUGCAUGCCUGUUAAUAUUGAAGAUACUUUCUGGAUGGUUUCAUGCAUGUCUGUUACUAUCUUUGUUCUGAACUGAUAAAUGAGACUGUCAUUUCAGUUUAUUGUAGCAGUGCAAUAGUUGUAGUCACUGCUUGGUUUCAUUCCAAUCUCACCCACUCCACUUCUAUGUGAGUACAUUUGUAAGAUCUUGAUGACAUCUGUGAAUUGUGGUUAAAAGAAAAUCUGGUGUACCAAAAUCAUGCUUAUUCUCCAAAACUCACGUCAUGCAUUAGAGGUUUCUGGUACAUACACAGAAAGAUUACAUUGAGCCAUUGAGGUGAAAUUUAUAGGUUUAAAUUUGUUUUCAACUGGUGUCUGAACCAUAUAUUCUACAAGAUCAAAGUAGUUUUUGUAUCUUAAUUGAACCAGCUCUGGUGGCCUCCUGUAAUUGCCCUCUUUAAAGUGAGUUAACUAUGCUGCUAACAGAUGAGAUAAAAUAGAAAAUAUCGAACUCCAAACAUUCUUGUUGUCAUAUGUUUUUCAUUGUACCUGUUAUGCCAAGCGCUGCUAUCUUGCUGACAAUGGGUGAACUUGCAAAUACAGGGGUCAUGGCAUAGUUACUGGCAUGGUGCAUUCCAUUGACAUUCAUCCGUCAAGAAAGCAUAUCUGUGUGGUAAGAUCAAUAUGUGGUAGCAAAUGCAAGUUUACUUUGAAUAAAUAAAUGAUUUUAGUUAUGUGUUAUGUUCCAUCUUAAUAGUUUUGAGGAUCUAACCUCUAGGAUAACCAAUCGUCCCAAGUACCAUGUAACUUAGUGAUGAACUGAUUUAGGUUGUUGAUGGUUGAGCAAAUUAAUGUACACCAAUAAGCUUCCAUUUGAAAUAUGGAAUUCAUUCAGGAAAUAACCUGUCUAGUACCAACUAUAUCAAGCAGCGUUCAAUCUUUUUUCCCCAAAAUUCCUUUGAAAAUUCAUAUAUAUCCCAAACAGGUCUUGUUUUUUUCAGUAAGAGGUAACCUACAUCAAUUCACUAGAGAAAUCUUGCAAUUGAAGUUUAGACAAAUAGAAAAGAAUCAAGCACCUUGUUUGUCAGUUUCAGUUGUGUUAUUUUCUGGCUUCGAGCCUUCGACGGUUCAGCCAGUGAUGUUAUUUUCUGACUUCAGCCUCAGAGCUAGUAAUUAAUACCUUUGUAAUGAUUUCCAUGUUGAAAAGAAGCUUACCUUGUGUAUAACCCAAAGCAUUUAAAUUGAAAAUACAAAACUAUGAUCUAUAUACACCUUGAAUGCAUUAGGUUAUAUUUGUCGAAGCAGUUUCACUUUCUAUAUUUUCCAAAUGUAAAAUGUUCUUAACAGAGCAGCUUUUUCAUGCAAUCAAGAACCAGAAGGUUAUGUUGGCUUACCUUUUUUUCUGAAACUGAUUUGCUGUUUUGUAGAAUUAUUUUGCCCUAUGAUAUGAAAUAUCCAAAUUCAUUGAAAUAUUUAGUUAAAUUGAGAUGAGUUGGUUAAUGUACCAGUGUCCAUGCCCUCUAGUGUAUGCUCUUGCACCCGUGUAUACCUAAUAAAUGAGCCUGAGCAGUGAGGCAUAUCGGGCCUAGAGGACUCUAGCUAACGUAGUCCACUGGGAGCUUGGACUCUAUGGAUGCAGGUCACUGCAUUGCUGACAGUGAGGAGCAGAAAACUCAUGCUAUUGCUAGUGCGCAGACCCUACCGCUCCAGUUUUAGUCCACCCAUGUUGAGCACAUAGUUGAAAUGAGUUUUAUGGGUGUGAUUACAUGAGUCAUAUCUGCAGCAUGGCUCAUCUCUGAAUGUUUGCAGGUGGGAGGCUCAUCAGGGACCAUAUUUGCCUGGGAUCUGCGGUGGCCACAGCAGCCGAUACCACUCUCUGGUGUAGGCCUUAAUAGAACAGCUGAGCCUGUGUGUGAAAGUGAGGUGUGGGAGGUUCUUUUUGACACUUGCACUCAGUCUUCUGAUAUCAUCUCAUCUGCAUCUGCAAGAAUAUUGCCAGUGAUGAUGUGUUCAGAGGAUGGGAUCCUUGCAGUUGUCGAACAAGGUAAGUGAGAUGUACAUGUAGCGUUCGGAUUGUUGGUGUUUAGUGUUUACUCAUCUUUAAUUAAUGUGCCUUUUUCCGAUUAGCAGAUGAGAGACCCCUUGAAUUGCUUGCUGAAGCUUGUGCUAUCAACUCCUUUGACAUAGAUCCUCAGAACCCCUCUGUAAGUCCUUGACUUCACCUGGUCAAGUGAAAAGUUUUUUGUUAUUUUUUGAGGGGUAACAGUUUUUAUUAUUUAUAGGUAAUGUCAGUAUGUUGUGUUAAUACUGUUAUGGAUUUGUCGCAGGAUGUUGUUUGUGCAUUGGAAUGGGAAUCGAUCGGUGUCCUAACUCGUGGUAGAGAUGCAAUGGCAGAAUAAUGAAAUUUUUCACCACCCAGGGAUUCCAAUCAGAAUUUUCUGCAAGGUGGCUGAAACUACUGUCAGAAAGAAUCUUCUGACUUCUGAGGGCUUCAUAUUCAGGGACCAUUCUCAUGGUAUUGGGCAACGGUAGAAGGAAUAAAGCGUGCUUGACGAGUGCUCUUUCCUGUCUCUGCAUACUAACCAGGUUUUACUUAUUAUGAGCUUCUGUUGUCAUGGGUAACUGCAGAUUGUAGAAACAUUUUCUGGUGUAGCUCCAAGUUGUGUAAUUGGUUCACUAUUGGAUGCUAACUGCUGACAGUUUGAAGGAGAGUCAUCACAAACAAUUCAUUCCUUUUAGUUGGGGGCUGAUGGACUCAAGGGGCUGUUUGGUUCUUGUGGCGUAUAUUUACACUGCAUGUGCAUGUGGCUGCCACAGUCUAUAGAGCGAACCAAACAGCUGGUUCGCCUUGUGUGGCGUGCAGUAGGUUAGGCUGGCGGAGUGCGGUGUGGAACCAAACAGCCGGUUGAGCUAUAGUUUGUUUCAUAAUGUUUGCGUUUUCCCUAGCACGCCAUGUGGUGUUAAAUCAGCUCCUGAACAUUAUGGACUCCAUUACGUAUUUUAUUCAUCUGGUUGACAAUUUAGAAAUUCUUGUUACUAAUGCAUAACUGAUGAAUCUGAAGGUGGACACGGCUUGUCGAGUGGUACAUCGAUCUAUGUAAUCUAAAGCCAAGGGCAAGACAUCGACAGCUCACACUGGUGCUAUGUAAAUUUUGAAAUAGAAGGCUGUAAAUUUUGAAUAGCGCUUUUUUUUAAUAACAAACAACUUCAUAUAUUAGCAGCAAUGUGCUGCUGAAAUGAUUAAAUCGUUCAAGCGUACCUCAAGAAGGGCUUAGCAACACUGGGGUACAUGAUGCUCAGAUGAGCAUAAAAAGUAAGGUUCCCUGUGAGCUGAGUUCCUGGAAUGCCUAGUAUGAGCUGUAGAGUUUAAGCUUCCGUGGAUCUCGUGGGUAGUAGCUGAAGAAGAGACUGCAUUAUUUGUGUUGAAAGUGAAUGUAAAUUAAUUGCUAAUCUCUAACACUAAUCGUAACUGUUUGUAUGGAUGUCGUACGGAUGAGAUCAUCAGUGAAUGGAUGCCUACUAGGAUUAGGCGUUUCACAACACUCCCCCUUGAUUGAAUCUUCUUUGAUAUUGAUGUAGCUGUAAACUUGGAUUUCUUGAAAAAACCUGUGAGAAAUCUGAGGAAUAUAUAUGUAUAGGUAUAUCAUAAAAGUUCCUUUAAACCUUAUAGGUAAAUAGAGAAAAUAGCAUAUAUGAGUGUGAUUUAAAUAAAUCAUUAUGUCAUUGGUAUCCCAUUAAAAACCCUAGUAGGGAAAAAUAUUGGAGAUAUGACAUAUUGAUUACUCCUCCCAAAACCCUUUUUAGGAAAAAAUAUGAGGAGCAAUAUAAAAUGAUAUGCCGCUAAAACUUCUAUAAAAACUUAGUGGGAAAAUUAGGAUAAAAUGUGACAACCGGUAUUGCCUCUUGGAUAACUCCCACCAAAAAACUUUGCAGGGAAAAACCAUGGAUGAGUUAUGAAGGCAAUGUGUGUCUUUGAUAUUUCCCACAAAAACCCCAAUGGGGAAAAUAGAAAAUAUGACAUAUGCUUAUGUUAAUAUUACCUCAUUAGAAACUUUGACAAGAAACCUUUUGAGUAAAACUUAUAAAAUAAAAGAGUAUAAUAUGAUGCUGGUACAGGUGGCAUUUAGGAGAUGUCUUCUCUUGAUUCUGGCAAAUCUCGAAGUCGUCGCAUACCAAUUCAUGUCAUUUGAGAUUGCAAUUUUACCAAGCCCCUUGACCUUGCCUUUCUUGUUGUUGCCGAAGGUGAUAGAAUCAAAGCCACCAUUUUGAUUUGUAUCAAUUGAUUUGAACAUACAAGACUCUCCAGCCAUAUGUUGAGUGCACCCACUAUCAAGCACCCAAUGUCUUCCUCCGGCUUUGUAAUUAACCUACAAGUCAAGAUCAAUUCCUUUUAGGUACCCAAAUUUGAUUGGGUCCUCUAAGGUUAGCAACUAAGCUCUUUGUUACCCAAAUGACUUUCUUAUUUGAACCCAUCCAUGGUGCACAAAUGAACUUAGCAUGAACACCUUUUGUAUACUUGGUAAGUACAUAGAAAGAAUUAAGCUUAACUCAUGUAUUGUUGCUCUAGGUGACCAACUUGCUUGCAAGCUUUGCAAUACCAACCAUUGUUCUUCACAAAACAUGUCUUGUGAGGAGCAAAGGCGGCCUUGCCUUUCUUGGGGUUAUAGCCCAAUCCCUCUUUGUAGAGAGAAGCUCUUUGGCUACCUAAGCACAUAAGCAAGCGGUCCUCACCACCAUAGGCCUUAGCUAAGGUGUGAUUGAGCUCUUUCACCUCCUUCUUGAGAAUUUCAUUCUCAACCAUCAGUGUGGAGUCACAAGUGAAACCAUCAAUACUAGAUGAGGAUGAUGUAGAUGUGCUACAUGAAGGGUUAGUUGAAGCAAUAACAAUAGGCUUACUUAAGAUAUCACAUGUUAUGCCUAUGUUGCAAGUUUGAGCUUUUUCAGUUUUAGUUGGCAUGGAUUCACAUUUGUCAACUAGAGAGGAAGGAGCUUCUUCAAGCUUAGUGUGAGCCUUUUGAAGCUUCUUAUGGUCUUCCUUUAGAUUCUCAUAAGAUGCUCUAAGCUCAUCAAGUUCUUGCUCAAGGGUUUUCUUAUCCUUAAGUAAGGCCUUGCAUUCCUUCCUAGAUUUUUUAAAGUGUUGUGUGCAAUCUUCUAGCAUAGUGAUUAGUUCAUCUUUAGUUGGUUCAUCAUCAUCACUAUCACUAUCAUUAGCAUGAUCACUCUCAUCAUCGGAUGAUACCUUAGUGGUGUUAGCCAUGAAGCAUGAAGAAGUGUCGAAGAUGGAGCUCUUUCCUUGAAUUGCAAUGCUAGCAUGCCCCUUCUUCUUGGUGCUCUCAUCAUCACUUGAGGAGUCAUCACUAUCCCAAGUUGCAACAUGGGCAUCACUGAAAGGUCCUUGUUUGGUUUUGGUAAUUGAGUGACAACUUAGGUGGACUAAUAGUGUUUAUGUGAGAUACACAGGAGAUUAGUCCACAGGUGAUGAUGCGAUGAUGGAGGAGCUCAUUGCACAUGAGACAUGACAUGGAGUCAUGUGACCAAGGUGGAGAAGAUCAAGAUGAGGCUUGGCUUGAUGGACCGAUUGCAAGAGUGAAGGGCAAGUCGGAGGCUUUGAAGCGAGGGACCGCGUGUGACGGUGAAGCUUGAGCAAGACUUGGCGCCGAUGGACCGAGGCAACGGUGAAGAGCAAGUGAGGUCAAGAUCGAUGAACCAAUACGAUCACGUGAUGAUAUGAAGUGGAUCAUAUCAUUUGGUGAUUGGUUGGUGCAUGUGUUGCAUCAAUAUUGGAGGAGAUAGAAUGGAAAGCGCAAGGCAAAGGUAUAACCUAGGGCAUUUCCAUUUCACCGGUCAUAGGUGUGUAGAGAAGUUUAUGACUAGAUUUAGGAUAGAUGGCCGUACUAUCAAGAGGGGCAAACUUGUUUGCAUAUCGGUCAUCUAGUGCCACUUGAGCGAUCUAACUUUGCAUACGUGUUAGAAUCGAGUGGCGUGGCAAGUUGAGAGGCUAACUCCUUUGGGAAAAUGUUUGUGAAAAGCUAACACACUUGCACUUUGGUGGUGGACACUUGUUGGUGUUAGCACAUUUGCAAAGGAGGUGGAGUUCCUAGGGUUGAGAGGGGUGUGGGUUCCUCGGCGCUUUUGAGAAAAUUAAGUGCAUAUUUUCUAUUGCGCCGGUGGGAAAUUUGGAGAAGUCACGGGAGUGUUUCUCAGUAGGAAACACUCACCGGACACUCUGCGCGGAGGCACCGGACGCUGGCCUUUAGCGUCCGGUGUGCUGUCGGGUGCAGCAGAGUGCACCGGACGCACCGGAGAGAGUCCGGUGCUCAGCGUCCGGUGUGCGGGCGGUUUGGCGACCCUCUCUGCGCAUGAGUCCGGUGAGCACCGGACGCUCAGGGUGCGUCCGGUGGCUUGCGUCCGGUGACCUUGCGCGUUUGCGGAGUUCUCUGCGCACGAGUCCGGUGUGCACCGGACGCGUUCGGUGUGACGCAGUAGAGCGUCCGGUGGUGCUGUGCACGCGCGUGUGCGCAGUAGCCGUUGGCGGCAACGGUCGAAUUCAAACGGCUAGUGACACGUGGCUGACGCCUGAGCACCGGACGCUGGGGGUUGAGCGUCUGGUGGCUCCCUGUGAGCGUCCGGUGCCCACAUGUUUUGCCCAGUGAAGGGGCAACGGCUAGUUUAGCCCUUGGGGCUAUAAAUAGAAGUGGUGGCCGGCCUUGGCCGGUGCUGAGCACCCUUGGGACUUAGUGUCCAUGCUUGGGGAGUGUUAGUAAAGCCUCUAACUCACAUAUGCUUGAUAGUGAUCAUCCGAUUGUGUGAGUGAGCGAUUCUAGUGUGUUGCAUUGAGAGAUUGCAUCGAGUGGCACUAGGUGUUCGUGUUGCAAGCCAGUGGUGCUUGUUACUCUUGGAGGUUGCCACCUCCUAGACGGCUUGGUGGCUUGUGACUCCGUCGAAGCACGCAAGGAGAUUGUGCGGUGCUCCGGAGAAGAGAUUGUGAGGGGUACGGUGCUCACCCCGUGGGGAUCGCGAAGAGCAACUCUAGUUGAGCGAGACGUGAAGAGCGACAAGUGGUCCGGCCGGGUCAAGUGCUAGAGCUUGUGGUAAGCACUCCACGUGGGAGAGUGUGACUUGCGGGUCACCACUAGCAAGAGGACCGACAGCAACCUUGGAGCUUGUCUCAACGGGGACGUAGCUUGGUGGCAACCAAGUGAACCUCGGGAGAAAAUCAUCGUGUCAACUUUGUUCUUCCCGUUGGUUUGCAAGUCCCUAACACAAGCUUGUUUUUACAUUCUUAUAUUUGUGCUUGUUUAGUUGCUCUUGUAAUUAGUUAGCUUGUGUAGCUUGCUAGUUACCUUCUUGCUUAUGUAACUAGAAGUAGUUCCCUUGCGUGACUAAUUUGGUUUGUGUAACCUUGUUAGUCACAUUGCUUAGUUUGUGUAGCUAAGUAAGUUGCGCUCUCUAAUUUGGCAUUAGUUGCCUUGUUAUUGAGCUUGCUAGUGAGCUUAGGCUUUAUGCACUUUGCCUCACUAGUUUGUGUAGGAGCUCCCCCGGUUUGGAAAGUACUAGUUGCAUAGGUUUGUGUGACCUUGCUCCUAGAAUUGAUUAGGUGAGCUCUUGCUAAGGUAGCACCUUGCUUGCUUGUUUAGAAUCUUUUCAAGGUGCUAGAGAACUUAGAUAGAGGGGUGUAGUCUUGGCUAGACCGAUAGUUUUAAUUCCGCAUUUGUUUCGGUUAGCCGGUGCGAUAAGUUUUAGAAAGGACUAUUCACCCCCCUCUAGUCCGCCAUCUCGACCCUUCAAUCACCUUUCUUCUUGUUUGAGCCUUCCUUCUUUUCUUGCUUCUUCUUUCACUUCUUUCUUUCCUUCUUGAUAGCAUCUUCAUCAUCACUAUUAUAAGGACACUUGGCGAUGAGAUGAUCCUUGCUAUGACAUCUAAAGCACCUCAUGGCAUGGUCAUUCUUCUUGGAGGAGCUCUUCUUCCUUCUUGCUCGAUAACCCUUCUUCUUCAUAAACUUGUCAAAUCUCUUGACAGGAAGAGCCAUUUCCUCAUCGCCAUCACUAUCACAAGAGCUUGCUUUUCCUUCACUUGAUGAUUGUACCUUGGCUUUGCCCUUGGAUGCGGAGGCCUUGAAUGCCACACUUUUCUUCUUCUCAUCGUCCUUCUUACCAUCCUUCUUCUUCUUCUUGACCAACUCUUCCUUCUCAUCAUCUUCUCUAUAAGCAUCAUCGGUCAUUACAUCUUGGAACACUUGUUGAGGUAUUUAUUCACUAAGUGUUGUAUUCACUAGUACAGUGAUCAAUGUGUCAAAUCUCUUGGGCAAGCUUCUCAAGAACUUCAUAGAGAAUUGACUAUCCUUCACUUCUUCUCUAAGUGCCUUGAGCUCAUUCACAAUGACUUGCAACCGAUGGAACAUUUCUGGCACACUUUUAUCCUCUUGCAUCUUGAAGCUUGAAAACUUCUCUUAGAGGAUGUAUGCCUUGGUGGUCUUGGUGCUCUUAGUGCCCUUAAAUGUUUUUUCUAGCUUUGCCCAUGCAUCAUGAGCAAUCUCAAUGUUCGUGAUUUGCUCAAAAGUUUUGUCAUCGAGAGCUUCAUCAUUGCAUUGUAGCUUCUUCUCUUCAACCAGAGUUGGUGCAUUCUCAUUUGCAACCUCAAACUUUGUUUCGGUCACCUUCCAAACCUCUCUACUGAUUGACUUGAGAUGGGUGGUCAUCUUGACCUUCCAAUAUGCAUAAUUUGUGCCAUCAAAGUAAGGUGCCUUCUUGGUGUCAUUGAUAUGCAAACUAAGAGCCAUUUCUUCACCGAAGGUUGUUAAGCCUCAAAUAAAUGGUGCCUUGGCUCCGAUACCACUUGAAAGGUACAAAUGGCUAGAGCGGGGGUGAAUAGCCUAUUUAAAUUUUCUACAAACUCAACUAGACUAGUUGAUUAGUAAAACAAAUGGCGAAGCUAAACUAGCACUAGCUUAACUAAGCUAUGCAAGCCACCUAAAGUCUAGUACAAGGCUAAACACUAAACCACAACAAUAAGAGAAGGCUAGCUACACUUCUAAACAAGAAAACUAUGCUACACAAGCUAAACAACUAGCAAGGUAUGCAAGUAAGUAAAGGAGUGAAGAGUGAUUAUUAUACCAAUGUUGUAGAGUAGAGAUAUAUGCAACCAAUCACUCACAAUCACAAUCACAAUAGAUGAUCAUCGGCAAGAGAUGACAUAAGAUUUUUUUACCGAGGUUCACUUGCUUUCCGGCAAGCUAGUCCUCGUUGUGGUGAUACACCCACUUGAUGGAUCAUGAGCUAAUUGGCAAUCCAAAGCCAAACCCUUAGCGGGUGCCGCAUAUCCACUCAUAAGAUAGAGAUUCUCAAAGCCACGAGCAAUCCACUAGAGUAGCCAAUUGUGAUCUCCUGUGGGGAAGGCUCAAGAACCCCUCACAAGUCACUUGGUGAGGCUUGAAACAAUCUCCAAUCAUGAGCUCAAUACCUCCGCUUCUCCAAGCCAUCUAGGGUGUCGGGAAACACCUAAGAGUAACAAGAAAUCUACAGCAAACUUUAAAAAUCAAGUGCCACUAGAUGCAACUCACUAAGCAAUGCACUUGAAUCUCAAUCAAUCUCACUAAGAUUAGCAAACAAGCAAGGAGAUGAGUGGAGGGAAUGUUCUCUAGCUCAAAGUAUAUCUCAAAUGUUCCAAAGUGCAAGAGCAAGCCCCCAAGGCUGGCCAACAGCUAUUUAUAAGUCCCUCAAACAAAUAGAGUCGUUGGCUUUUUCACUGGACAAAACACGGGGCCACCGGACACGCUGCAGGUGAGCCACCAGGCGCUCAACCCCUGUGUCUCGUGCUUAGAACACAGUCACGUGUCCACUGUUUGAAUCACGUGUGUUGAUUUCUAACGGUCACUUCCAAACUACCAGACGCGGUUAAGUAUCCACCGGACGCGUCCGAUACACACCGGACCCGUACGCACAGAGGGUGUUUUCGCGCGGAGUCACCGGAUGCAUACCACCGGACGCUCUCCUGCGUUCGAUGCCGCGAGCGCUUCUGCAGUGAACCACCGGACACACAUCAUCGGACUCGCUCAUGUUUCUGUGCAUGUAUUUGGUGUGUACACUCCAGCAAGUGCCACUCACCGGACGCACUGAGCGCGUCCGGUGCAGCGUCCGAUGCUGCGUUCGGUGAGUGCUCGUGUGACUUCUCCAAACUUUCCACUGGUGCAAUAGAAAAUAUGCGUUUAUUUUCUCAAAAGCGCUGAAUCCCGCCUUGCAAGCUCGGCGAGAGGGAGAGAGGAACCCAAACCCCUCUCUACCCUAGAAACUUGUUGGCGUUUCUUAGCGAAACCACUAAAGAUAGAGUUUGAGUCCAUCCCUAAUGAUAACACUAGAAACGUUCUUGGCAUAUCCUAGCCACCAUCACUUCAGAAUGAUAACCCAAGGCUCUUUACGGCGCGGGCCUAGGCAGUGCAGUCUGGUAAUGAUGAUUAAUAAUGCCAAAUUGGCCUUCCUAACCAUCCUUACUUACGAUAUGCAAAGCUGUGGCCCGGCGCCGGGUGAGUGCACAAGUAUUACAAUCUUAAGUAAAGGUACUUAGGUACACCAAUCGAUAGCUCAGUAUGAAAUAAGAAUAACUCUGCAAGCACACAGAACUAUCAUUGUAGCAUUUCAUCAACCCGUAAAUGGGUGUCGUAUUUAUAAUUCCUGUAGGAAGGCAUUUAUAUCUAGCAUGGUUAUAACAUGAUUACUUUUUAAAAUGCAUGGUAGGCAUAGAGUAAACAUGGGUAAGAUAUGAUAUUUGGAGAUAGUGGACACACAUUUGGGUCAUCCUCAAUGAUAAAAGAUAAAAUAAAGAAUAAAAGAAUAUAACUACUGAGCAGGCAUGGUUCGUAUAUAACUGUGCUAAGAACCGUUAGUAAGUCAUUUAACUAGCAUGUCUAGAGAUAGGAUCAGGUUUGAGAUGAUAGGGAGAUCCCCAUAGCUGGUCUGCCAGCAAAUAGAGACUUUACAUGACUCCUACCAAAUAUCCGAACAUGGGGGAAUACGAAGGAUGACAGGGCUGUCACCACCCUGCCACCUACCCCUCUCCCCGUGGGAUACCCGCAUAUCCACUAAUCUCCGCAUACCUGAACACCAUGUUCACGUAUUUGGAAACAACUGUUAACCCCCACGGGCCCCAACCCUUCGGAUUGAUGUUGAUAUUUGGUAACGCCAUCAGGAAAUGAUCCGCAAGGCACGGAUAUCGGUGAGCACUUCACCCGGGAGGUUAUCCAGAGUAUUGUAUUUAUAUUUUUACCACUGGGAGAAAGCGUGCAUCUGACUAACUAAAUCUAUUGCUAUUACCCUUUAGGCUACAAACAAUGUGAUUCGAUGUGAGCGAUGUAUAGAGAAGACUACAACCGCACUCUUGUUCUAACCUUGGAAAGGAUGAUCUACUGUUCUAUUGGGGAGGCUUACGGUAUCUAGACACCACAAAGGAUGUUCGACCCGCACCUAUAAACCCUAUCGAUCCUGCUAAUGGGAUGUGGGCUGCAAAGGUAACUCGGAAAUGUCACGUUCCUCGCUACUACCACGGUCCAGCUAGACAGGGGAUAUCUAUGAGUACCCUAGCCCAAACACCACGUUUACGCUAGCAAUGAUUACUCUAAACUCAACCGUAAGAGAUUAAAGUAAACUCAUAAACCAAAGAACAAUAAGAACAAAGAACUUACUAGAAUUUAGAAGUCGAAAUACUGAAGAAUCCUAGGAGCAAGCCUCGGGUUAGGAGACUUGAUCCCGCAGGUACAACCUCGGAGUAGACACCGACAGGCUAGGCUUCCUCCGAUCUACACCUCCACUCUAUCUGUCUCAAUCUAGUAGAACUAGUUCUACUCUUACAUUGGAUGCUAAGCCCUAUGAGGUGGGAACCCUAAGGAACCUCUCUCUGAAUCCUCUCUGGAAAAUAUGCUAAUGAAUAAUGAGGAUUGCUCUCCUCCAGGGGCCAGGGGGCCUGCUUAUAUAGUCCCCUCAAGUGAACGUGGGCCGUCGGAUCAAACCAACAUUGAUUGAACGGUUCUCCUUGAUCCUUUAGGUCGGUGGAGCAUAAUCCGCAAGAUUGAAUGUGAUUGGUGGAAAUACCUGGGCCGGCGCCCAAGGGGGGAGAGCGAGCGCCCUGCCCUCGAGCCCGCUCAGUCUCCCAUUCGUUCCCGUGGCUUCUGGAGUCUUCUAGAUGAUAGAAAAUUGUGCGGCACGUUAAUAUCUCUAUGUAAACCCGACAUGUGGGCCUUUCCUCCAUAUUUCCUGAUAACCCCCUGCAGAAAUAGACAAACACCCAAACUCAUGGAAUUCUGUCAGUUAAAACCCUAAGUCUGGGUGUUGGUUGCAUUUGGAUCCUUUUCUUUAUUUAUUUGAUGAUUAUAUUUGGUAGUUAAGGACCAUCAACAACUCCCCCAAGCUUACCUCUUGCUCGUCCCUGAGCAAGGAUGGACUCAAGAGUUUCUGCAGUAGUUUCAUGCCUUAAAAGUACACAUACGUUCAAGCAAGAUCUCAUCUCUGAGUUAGAGUAAACUGUUAAGACUUAAAACUUACUCAUUUUACCUUUCACCAUGGGGCUUGAAACCGUCACUUGUGUCUUGAGCAGUUAAAAGAUAGAACGGUCAAGUCAAGCGCCAUGUCUCUUGUUCUUGAUCAGCUAUAGCUCUGGAGUUUUUGCAGAUUUUCAAAUAAAACUCAGAGAUUCCUUGUAUGACUCUCUCAAAUCUCUCUUUUGUGGUAUUUCUAGAUCCUUUCUAAGGCAGUAAUGGUAUAUGCCUUCUCUUAAAGUAUGUGGUAUUUUUUGUAUGAGGCAUAGUGAUAUUGCCCUCUCUCUCACCCUACUCUAAUAAGGUUUUGAUAUCUAGAGCUCAUAGGUGGGAGACAGAUAAUACAUACUUACAAGACAUUUAUUGCAUAGUCAAACCAUAGAUCCAGAAGAACAAGUCAAUAAGUCAAAUCAAGAUGUGCAUGUGUGGCGAGUGAAUGGUGUAUGGUGAUGAUGGUGAUAACAAUGGUGAAAGUCUAAUUCUACUUUUGCUCUUUUAAGGGGAUACAUUCCUUUCUUGCUCUUUUGAAACUUUUUGAGGAGAAUGAGAUGCUCUAUAUUUUCUUUUUCUUUCCUCUUAGGUGGGUAUCUUGUACCCCUAAUUCUACUAUCGGACACUUGUCCAUUUUUACCUCUCGUCUCACUUUUUCUUUUCUUCGAGGUUCCGGGCACUUGCCCCUUUUUAUUUUCUCAUAUCCUUUCUCUCUUUUUUUAGAGCACUCAUCUCCUGAAAUAAUAUAUCAAGUGGUAGUAACCAAGAUAACUCGAGCAUUUAUUUCACAGGGACAAACAGAAAUAGGAGAUUGUUUUUGGCUAUUCUCCCGGAUUAGGAGUAGAACAAUUUUAGGUGGCUCUGGAGAUGGAAAUGAGUGGAUAUAUGUGGAUGCGUACUUCCGGAGUAGAAGUAGCAUGUGUGAGUGAACGUGCAAGUGGAUCUUGAUUUUAACUGCAUGACAAGCUCCUAAGGGUCUACACAGCUUGACCACACUCAAUGCUCAUAAGCAGUAAAAAGUAAAUGUGUGGCUCAAAGUCUAGCAAGCAUGUAUAUAUGGCCGUGGUAGGAAUUUAAACUCUCAUCAUAUAGGAACUCAUCAUGUGUUAUUUUAAAGAUUUUCAAAGAUAAAAUUCUCUAGAAUUCUAGCAUCUCUAGGAACAGAUAAACAGGAGCUCAAUCUUCCCAUAUCAUACCCGUUAACAACUUAGACUUUAGAUCAAGUACUCUUCCCACAAGUUCAGGUUUAGAACAGGUUUAAAUUAUAACAGUUAUGCCUAAACUUGAGAGAGAGCUCCAACUUGAAAACUAGGUACAUGGCAGAGCAACUAUUUAUUAUAUCCAUGUAAGAGUUUAUCAUUUAAGUUCAGUUUGGUCUAGAGACUUUAUUUAUUUAUUUAGCAAACUAAGCAAAGAUAUAUAUAAGCACAAAAUUUUUAUUUGGGUUUUCAUGAUUAUGCAUCUUUUUAUUAUUUGAGUAAAGUAUAAACGCGAGUAGAAACACUUAGCUGGAUAAAUGGGGGUGCUCUCCCCCAAGCUGGAUUUUGACGUAAUUUCUUCUCAUGUAGCCAGUAGGUGACAGAGGUGUAUUUGAAUGUCGGCAGCACCCUGACAGCGAUUACUAUGUCCUCCGCCGGCUAGUCUUCUUUGAUCCUUGAAUUCUGUGGAGCUCAAAUAGACAAUAAAGCUUUGUGGAACUGGUUAAGUGUUAGCAUAAAAUCUCUUAGCCUUUAUCAUAUUGAGAUUCCUCCUAAUUUACUCUCUUUAGUAGGAUCAUAAAUUUAUUUUUAUAUUUUCAUUUUUAUAGGAUAGGAAUAUAUUUAUUUUAUUUUUAUGCCACCAUAGUGAAUGUACUUAUGGGUUUUAUGCUAUGAGCAUACUCACAUGGGGCUUACUAUUUUUAGUAUUUUUAUUUUCUUUUCAAGAUAGCAUGAACCUGAUUAACUAAGCAAACUAUUUUAAAUAAUUGAAGGGAAAAGGAUAACUACCAAGUUUACCUCUUGGCAAGGCGUUCGAUGUUUAUAAGUCCUCCGAACGGGACUCUCCGUUUUCUCAGUCGUCCUGGGAUUCGCUGGAUGGCAUAGUCGGUGGUUUCGGUGGUGCCUCCUCUUCGUGUAUAACUAUCUUCUCUCUCCACACCUGACUCGGUGCUACGGUCUCCUCAGGAUUGUUCUGUUCAAGCUGUAUGUCUUCAGACCUUACCACUUCUCCUUCGUAGUCUGCCCAUCCGUCCUUGAUGAUUUGCCUCCUCUGGUUGCGGUUGCGUUGUCUUCUUCUUGUCCUGACCUGCACUAUAUAGUUAAGGUCAGUAAAAUAGCGGCGUACCUUCUGAGAGGGGAAGUGCAUGUGGACUUCACCGGUUCCAAUGUAGAUGAUUGCUUUAACGGUGCCAAGGAACGGUCUCUCAAGGAUGAUGGAUGGAUCGUACUCGUCUUCUCCCAUGUCAAUAACCUUCAACCUUUCGGAAUGUCUGAUCUACCAUCUGGAGCUGGGUCAUCCUUUUUGGUCAGAAACGGUGACUUAAGUCGACGAUCUUGACCUUCUUGAACUGCAGUGACCAUCUUAGCUGACUCGGUGCACAUUUGCUUGUUCCUGUUCCUCCUGUUGGUCCUCUUCCUUGGUUCAUGUCGAGAUUGCUCUAAAAUUUGUGUAGUCUUGUUCUUGAAGGAAAACGUCUCCUUCUUCCCUUUGCUAUAGAAACUGAUCUUGGCAGCACUAGCGUAGAUGACAGCUCCUGAGGUGUUCAGGAAUGGCCUCCUCAGACGUAGAGGUUCUUCAAUAUUCCCUUUGGGAAACUUAGUGUCCGAUCUGCAAGCUGAGUAGUUAGGCCUCUGUUGAUUCCAACCUUGAUUUUGUUGAGGACGGUUGUAGUAGUAGUAGUAGUUGUUGAUGUAGUUUACGUCCUCAAGCAUCUCAGGGCAUUGAUUGCCUGAGUGUCCAGUAUCUCCAGUGUGUUUGUGCUCGUAGAUCCAGAUUCUUCACCUGGUGGAGUCUGGGAGUUAUAAAACUCCUUCAUAUUUUGCUCGAAGUGUACCUGCUCAUAGAGACAGGGCAGAGAUCAAGUGCAUGGGCCCUGUUGGUGGAAAACACCAACAAAACCAAAAGUAUAUUUGUUCUUCUCUAACCUUAAGCAUAGUCAGCAAGACAAAGUUGAUAGAUAAUAAGAUCAUGAGUGUAGCGUUUAAAACAUUUGUCAGAUCAGAUCGCUCGACCUAAUGGAA